CAAAAGUUUAUGAAUUGUUCAAAACUUGCCCUCAAGUUUUGGAAUUUGUAAAGUCUCACACAAACUUUAAUUCCAUACCCUAGAAGUUUUAAAAGUUAAAAUUCUACCCUUAUACUAUUAUAAGAUUAAUGGUUAAUUAUUAUAUAUAUGUAUAAGAACAAGUCGUUUUACCGUUAGUAGGCCUCAUUCACGAAGCCGGUCUAUAAGGUGGGUAUAAGGUUGUUGCCUAUAAAAUGGCGACUUAAUGGGUGUCUACUCUCACCCACCGCUUGCUUGAUCGGUGGAGGGUCGUUAGCCGAACGGGUAGGACAAUGACUUUAAAUUCUCAUUAAAAGUAUAAUGAUUAUUAUAAAGUAACUAAAUAUUUUUUUUAUUUAAUUCCCAAUCUUAGUUACUUUAGGAAAAAUGUGAAUUUGGUGCUAGCCCAUGGAAUUCACACUUUGUACCUUACCAAGUCGUUGGUGGAGCGUGUGUGGUUAACCGGCACACUAACUUGGACUAGUAAGGAUCACGAAGGGUGACUUAAUGUUUGUCAUAGAUCAAUGGAGCGUGUGUGGUUAACCGGCACAUUGAUUGGGUGAUAAUAUUAAGGGUACCAAGUGAAUUGGUAUGGUUAUUCACACCUUGUUUUGUGAUCCUCGGCAUCCCAGUCACAAAAUUUGAGAGGGCACACUCGAGAUUGAAACAUGCCAUUGAAAAGUUCAAUGAAUCUCAAAAGAUCUAGGAAUUUCAAAUCCAAUUAAAACCUAAUAAAUUAUUUCGUUUUUCAUGGUGGAAAUUGGUGAAUCGUCAUUCGCCUACCUUCAAAUAUUUUAUAGCUUGGAUUACGGCAUCCCUCUUCCAAAUUAUAAAAUAUUGUGUUGGGUCCUAGCCUUAAUAUUUCAUAUUGGGUGUUAUAUUAAGGACUUUGAAUCAACUAACUUGAUUUUCUCCCAUUAUAGAUGUCUGGUUCAGACAACUAUGAUCUUCCCAAAUCUCUUGAAGAUGGUGUCCCUCAACAUCAUGCUUCACUUCCUCCACCUCCUCCAAUUAUUCUCCCUCACCCACAAGUUCUUGAAAAGUUUAAAGUCACUCAAUCCCUAUUGGCAAGCAUAGUCUAUGUGUGCUCACAUCUUGGAGAUAAAGUCACAUAUUGACAAGCCGGGAGAGUUGGGUGUCAAAGUCUCGUGAAAGUUGGAUGUUCAAUCACUUUCUUAGUAACAUAGUGAGUCUCUUUGGGACUACUAUGAGACAGACUAUGACAUGACCCUUAAUGAUGUUAUCUAUUUGCUUGGUGUUGUGGAAUCAGCAAUGAUUUGGAACACCAGUAAAGCAAAUUUGAUUAAAAGAACAACUUCCCAAGUCUUAAAUGGACAUUGACAAUGGUAGCAUUGGAUAUCUAGAAAAGGAUUUCUCUUCCCAAUGGAAAGGGAUCGGCCAUAGUCAACUCGGUUGACCAAAUGGUAAAGAGAAAGGCUAAGUCUGAGAUAGUCUCAUGUGCCAUUACCAAAGGGUCCAUGUGUUUUGUUGCCAAAGGAAGGGGCAUUGGUUGCGAAGCUGCCCUAUUCACCUGAAAGGUCAUAAGGUUGAUCAAGUCAAGAGGUUUGACUCUACUUCGGGUAAAGUCCACUGUCUAACUCUAUUAAGUUCCUAUUUGGAGAUUCUUAUUACAUAAUGUGAAUGGGUCACAUGCUGAUGUUUUUAAGAAUCAAAGAAAAGAUAGGAAGCUUAAAGUAAGUAUAUGUUGAUUCUGAUUGCAAAGGUGGGUUUCGAUCGCAUGGUUCGGCAAUCAGAAUUUUGAGCUGUUGCUUAAGAGUUAUAAUAUAUUGCUUAUGAAUAGAUAACAACAAGGUUUUCAUGUGGAUUGUAAGGAUAAGUUUUUCCGCAAAGUUUUAAAAUAAAAGAAAAAAAGGGUUUUAAUUUUAUUUAUUUUAAAAAUAUCCUUACAAUGGCAUCUGUGGAAAAUUGUUGCUUAUAUGUUUCCAGUAAUAGCAAUAUUGGAAAGUGGAUUUGAUUCUUUCAUUUGUGGUAGUGUCUGAAUUUACCAAAUGAAGAAAGUUUUUCAUCACCCAAGUUUCAAUUGGACAGAAACUUGGAAUCAUACAAGUUGUAUUGUAUGAUGAAUGAGAAUUUUCAUCUUUGAAAAUUAAGACUAAUUCUUUGAUCACAUGUAUAUGUGAGUCAAUUGAAGGACUAAGGAAUUAGGUACACUGGGUGUGCGCUGGUCAAGGUCCACCACAAAGAUUGAUUUGUCAUGAUUUACUAAAGAUUAGUAAAUAUGAUUAUACUUAUAAGGUUAAGUAUAAUUCUGUAACAUUGGAAAGGUUACAAUGUAUGACAAAACAAAUGAGAAGAAUCAAAUUAGGCAGAAAGAUAAAAGUUUCUCAAAUCUGAAAGGAUGGGAGAGUACUUUAGUAUCGUAUUUCAUGAUCAUCUUAAUGAUUAUGAAACCAUAUCACAAAUUCAUACUCUAAGGACGUCUUAGUGCAUUGUUAUGGCUAAGAAGAGAGGUCAUGAAUUGUUGGAUUGGUUAAAAUCAAGAAGAUGAGUCAUACUUCGUUCCAAAACAAUUCUUAGAGUCAUACUCCAAGAUUGUAACUUUGAGUGACAUAAAGGAAGAUUUAUUAACACUAGUCAAAUGUAAGAGUAAAAUGUUUUCUACUCUUGUACAUUUGAGAUUGGUAAGUUGUGAUGUCUUGGAUGAGACAAAGACCAACUAAGACCAAUUGUGUGAAGUGUUAGUCUUGAUAAGAAUCCGCACUAUCCCUUGAAUAUUUGUUUUGUCAAGGAAUGGUUCUUGACUGGGGAAACUUAUAUGUCAAGGGGACAGUGGGAGCCUUAAAGAUCCUGAAAGAGUUUCAAGAUUUAAUCAAGAGUAAAACCUGUAAUUUAUCACUAGCACACGACUUAAGGUUUGCAACCUAUCGUGUUGACAUAAUUCUUAUUUCUGUACCUACUUCAAAUAAGUUGAAUUUGCAUGUGAGUUAUCAGAGUUCAACUUGGAAGCAUUGGUGGGCCUUGUGCUACCAAGGUGACAAGAAACUAAGAUUGAACAAGUUUAAUCCAUGUAAGGCUGAAUUUGUCACUAACCUUAUCUUGUGAUUAUGGUUUUGACAAAUUCACAUGGAUAGGAACUCAUACACUAUAAAAUCUAAGUGUCAUAAGGUUUCUCUCCGAUUCAUGAAAAUGAUGGUGAGGAAACGCUUUCAUUAAGUAGAUUUUACGUAGAUAUCAAUUGUGUUAUUUGCAUUUUCAAAAGUCGUUAGUGGAGCGUGUGUGGUUCACCGGCACACUAACAUGGACUUGUCAGAAAUGGCAACGGUCUAAACAAUUAUGACUAUGAUUACGGUAUCCCUUUUCAUAGUUCUGAAAAUUGUUUAGACACACAUGUGAGCUAUCUAAGAAAGGGUGUAUGAAUCUAAAUUUCAGAAGUCCAGCAGAUUUCUGGAAAUAUGUCAGAGCUAGUGGGAGCAUAAGUGUUAUGCUGAUAAUCAUCAUGUUAGUGGGAGCAUGAUUAUUACGUUUAGUGUUGCAAGUUAGCAAUGUUAAUUAUAGAAAACAAAGUUUCAAUUCGUGAAGUUGCAGGGGUUGAAAAGUUGUUUUGCUAUAAUUAAGGGAGAGGAAAUUAUACUUCAUUUCAAUUCUAAAGCUUAGAUUGAGAUUUUAAUCAUCUUUAGUCAAGUAUAUAUAUAUGAAUUUUAUGUUGGAAUGGUUCAACUUGAAGAAAUUCUAUAUAUAUUGCGUUUUCAAAAUUCGAUUAUGAUUACGGCAUCCCUCUUCAUAGUUAAAUUUUGAAAACAUGGCAAAUAAAAAAUAUUGUAGCAAAAGACUGGUCUAGUAUCAUGUCUUUAUGUCAAACAUCAUGAAUCGUGUCCCAUAUGCUUCGGAUAUAGGAUCGAUUGCAUGUGCUAUAAUAUUCAUCUUUUCUAAAUUUUCCAAAUGCUUAAGGCAUUGAGAAGGGAAAAGUCUAGAACUGGAUAUGACUAAAGUGAUUAAGCAAUUGUCGAGGACAAUCUGAGGUUCGCCAAAGAUUGGUUGCUCAGGGAAAGUUGGAAGUAUGAUGUAAGUUGUCGGAAAGGACCAUAUUGACAUAUUCUGAAAAGAAGUAACUCUUGUUCGGAAGUGAUAGUCAAAAUGGGACUAUGGAAAUGUCUCCAUAGGUGGAAGUUAUUCAAUCUAUGUAAGAUUAGAAAACCUUAAUGCAAGAAGGAUGUUCAAAGCAAUGUACUUUGAAUAUGAGACUUCCGUUCCAUAGAAGUUGACCUUCUUUGGAAUACUCUGUAAUGACUGGUGACAAGGUUUUGGUGACUUUGUGCAUAAUCAUUACAAGAGGAACAUUGCAUAAAAGUUUAAAAUCUAACAGUUUUUUUGGUAAAUGAUAGGAAUCGGGGAUUCUCACAUUUACAAUAAGGAUUUGGGAUUGUGAAAUGAGUAUCAUUGGAAUCAUGUUCAAUUGAUCUACAUCACAAUGUAAGGAUCAUAGACAAACAUAGUGUGCAUACUUGGAGUAUGGCAUAACUAUUGUUUAGAAAAACAAAGUGUACAUGCUAGGAGCAUGGGACGACUGUUGUUUUUAUUCAAGUCUUAAGUUGAUUGUUUGAAACAUUAUACAAUGAAUAAUGUGUAAUCAAUAUGGUGAUAAAUAAAAGGUGGUUCUAUUUAUAUUCAAAAGGGUUCUGAGACCAUAUUGGAUUCGAUUAUUAUUGUGUUUCACUUUGCAUGUUUUGACUUCCAAAAUAGCUAGGUUAUUCUUUCCGAAUGACUAAGUUAUUUAAACACUCCACAGUCGUUCAUAUGUUGGAAGUAGGUAUGAAUCAAGACUGUCAUGAAUCGAGUUUGUAGAUGGCUAAAUGGGUUUAGUCAUAGCAAUGGUUGCUACAACAUUCAUGAGUGCUCAUAAGUUAUGAGUAUUGGAAUAAACCCACGCUCACUUGUAUCACUUCAUGGAAUUUAUCUCGAGUGAUCGUGAGACGGUAAUAUCAUAUAAAUCUUCAAACCUAGAGAUAUGAGUUGUUACCUAUGAGUUGGUUGUGCAUUGAUUGCACGUAAACGCAUCAGUAACUUGAUGUUAUAAAACGUGCCUUUGUGUACAAUUCAACAAGUAGUAGAACAAGCAUAUGAGUCGAAGUUUAUCUGUUCCUUCUAGAAAUAGAAGCGAUAUCUGGGCCCCUCGAUGAUUUUGUUGUGACCUAUGUACCGGCCGGUCAGAACUAAAUUGAUGUGUUCGAUUAAGUUCUUUGUCAAACAAAUCGAAAAUUGGGAAACAAACUGCUGGACAAUAAGUACGACGUUGUUCCAUGUAUUUGUCCGGCUGAUAUCAUGAGAACAGAGGAUUAUAUGAUCACUUAUCUAAAAUGGCGCUUCAUAGUUCAACAGAGUUUUCGAGAGCUACGAUUGCUGGUUGGUUCCUGAAGUAACAUACGCAAAUAUAGUUAUUAGACUUAUCCAAGUGGGAGUCUGUUGGAUAAGGUGUCUAAGUCCAUAACUUAUUUGGUACAUACUUGACCCGACCCGGCAUGGUCCAUUUGGGUUGCACUUCACCCAAACGAUUUAUGGAUAAUUUUAUGAGAAUUGUAUACUUACGAUUUAUUAAUAUAUUAUAAGUUAUAAUAUAUUAAUAUGAAGUCAUGUUAUUUAAUUAGUUUUAGUCUUAAAUUAAUUAUGAAUUAAUUUAGAGAUUAAAAAGAAGACUGAUUAAAUUAUGGGCUAUUAUAUUUUAUAUAGUGUGGGCUAAUACUCAUUUGUUAAUGGGCUAAGCUAAUAUGGAAGUCCAUGAAUGAUCCAUGGAGCUUUUAACCCAUGGAUCCUUGGAAAGGAAAAGACAUGGGUUAUUAGGGUUUCACCCUAAUCAUGCACACUAUAUAAAGAAGCAUAUGAUGCAAGAAAUGACGCUCUAGUUGUGUGAGACUUAGUGGUUGCCGAUUUCAUAAGAAAGUGUACUACUCUCUCAAAGUUUUCCAAACGUUUGUGGUGAUUUGUGAUUUCCAUUUGAGGCAUUCACACUAUUGGUGCUUGGCUCUCAAACUCCAUAGGAAUCAAACUCAUCAUAAGGUAUGUAAUCUCAUCUAAUUCUUUUAUGUUUAAAAGUACCCCAUGCCAUGUUAGAUAUGUUAUGAACCUUGGAAAAUUAUUAUUUUGCAUGUAUUUAGACAAACAUAGAUCCAAGGUUUAUUAGAGUUGCAUGCACACUUAGGAAGUGUUAGAUUGCUCAAAACCCAACAAGCAUAACUUCAGGAACCAACCAUUAAUUGUAGCUAUUUAAAACUUUUUUGGACUAUGAAGCGCCAUUUUAGAUAAGUGAUCAUGUAAUUCUCUGUUCUCAAGAUAUGAGCUGGUCAAAUACAUGGAACAAUGUCUUACUUAUUGUCCAGCAGUUGUUUCUCGAUCUCUGAUUUGUUUGACAUAGAACUAAAUUGAACACAUCAAUUAGGUUCUGACCGGGCCCAACACAUAAGUCAAAACCAAAUCAUCGAGGGGCCCAUAUAUCAUUUCUAUUACUAGAAGGAACAUAUAAACUUCAACUCAUAUGCUUGUAUACUAGUUGAAUUAUACCCAAAAUUAAGUUUUAUGACAUCAAGUUACUGAUGCUUUUUCGUACAAUCAAUGGAUAACCAAGUCAUAGUCAACAACUCACAUCUCUAGGUUUGAAGAUACAUAUGAUAUUACCGUCUCACGAUCACUCGAGAUAAAUUCCAUGAAGUGAUAAAAGUGAGCGUGGGUUUAAUCCAAUACUCAGACCUUAUGAGCACUCAUGAAUGUUGUAGCAACCAUUGCAAUGUCUAAUGCACCUUAGACAAAUCUUACAACCCAAAUUCAUGACAGUCUUAAUUCAAUAACUACUUCCAAUGUAUGACCGAAUCUGGAUAGUUUUGAAUAAAAUAAUUAUUCUGGAAGUCAAAACAUGCAAAAUUCAAACAAUAGUAAACGAUUAACAUAAGAUAGUAACACCUUUCAUAUAAAUAAACAACAACUUUUAUUUAAUCAUCAAAUGUCAAUUACAUUUUACAAGUUUCAGAAAUAGCUAUCUAAUUGUUAAAAUUAAUACUAUCUCUCAACCCUAUGCUCCUCGCAUGGUUCAAAUGUCUAACCCUAGUCAGUCCCUUCGUGAGGGGAUCUGCAGGGUUCUCUUCUGACGAUACCCACUUUGCCACAAGGAGUCCUUCUUCUGUCUUGUGUCUUAUGAAGUGAUAUUUUUUGUCAAUGUGUCUAGAUCUACCAUGAUCUCUUGGUUCCUUAGCUAAAGCAACCGCACUAUUGCUGUCACAGAAAAUCUCCAUAGGCUUCUAUAUAGCUAAUACAACUCCAAGGUCUCCAAUGAAGUUCUUCAGCCAUAUUGCCUCCUUUUUCGCUUCACUUGUUGCUAUGUAAUCUGAUUCACAAGUAGAAUCAGCUACUGUCUCCUGCUUGGAACUUUUCCAAGUAAUUUCUCCUCCAUUCAGGGUAAAGACCCAGCCUAACUGAGAGCGGAAAUUAUCCCUAUCAGUCUAAAAACUAGCAUCGCUAUACCCUGCUACUCUCAAGUCAUCACUCCUACCGAGGGUAAGAACCCAAUCCUUAGUCCUUCGUAGGUACUUCAGAAUAUUGUUUACCGCAGUCCAGCGAGCCUUGCCAGGGUUUUCCUGAUAUCUACUGACCAUGCUCAAAGCAAAGGCCACAUUAGGGUGAGUACAAGUCAUAGCGUACAUGAUCGAGCCAACAGCGGAAGCAUAUGGUAAUCGAAUCAUCUCAGCUAUCUCAGCCUCUGUUCUCGGUCUCUGAGUUUUACUCAGUCUGGAAUUAUGCUGGAUCGGUAGCUCCCCUUUCUUGGAAUUCUCCAUGUUGAACCUCUUCAACACUUUAUCCAAGUUGGUACUCUGACUAAGUCCAAUUAGUCUUUUACUCCUGUCUCUUAGUAUCCUUAUCCCUAGGAUAUUAGCAGCUUCUCUAAGGUCUUUCAUAGCAAAACACUUCCCAAGCCAAGACUUAACCUCCUGCAAAGUUGAGAUGUCAUUUCCUAUGAGUAGUAUAUCAUCCACAUACAGUACCAAAAAGCUAACUAUACUCCCACUAGCCCUAACAUAUACACAUGACUCAUCCUCGCUCCUCGAAAAUCCUAACUCUCUGACUUUCUCAUUGAAGCAAAGAUUUCAUCUGCGAGAUACGUGUUUAAAUUUAUAAAUGGAUUUCUCAAGCUUACACACCCUAUUAGGGUACUUUGCAAUGACAAAACCCUCUGGAUGAUUCAUGUAAACAUCCUCAGCCAACAUUCCAUUAAGGAAAGCGGUUUUGAGAUCCAUUUUCCAUAUUUCAUAAUCAUGAAAUGCAUCUAUGGCUAGCAAAACUCUAAUAUACUUGAUCUUUGCUACUAGUGAGAAGGUCUCAUCAUAGUCACAUCCCGGAGUUUGAGUAAAGCCCUUUGCCACCAGUCGCGCUUUGUAAGUAUGCACCUUCCCAUACAUGUUGGUCUUCUUCUUGAAGAUCCAUUUGUACCCAACUGUCUUGCGACCUGGUACAUUGUCAACCAAGUCCCAAAAUUGAUUGUCAUACAUAGACUAAAUCUCACUGUCCAUAGCCUCCUUCCAUUUAGCAGACUGGGGGCCUGCCAUGGCUUCCCUGUAAUUAUUAGGUUCAUCCAAAUCUAUCAGUGUACAGUCACUAAUAAAUGUGUCACCUUUAGUAGUGAUGUGAUAACCAUAAUAAAAAUCAGGUGUGUUCUUAACUCUAGUGGAUCACCUUGGAGGUACGGACUCAUCUAUUGGCUCAACAGGAGUUUCCUCGUCAGGUUGGUCGCUAGUAUUUGAGGUUCCUUCACUGCUUGACUCUUGAAGUUCUUCAAGGUCAAUUUGCCUCCCCCUGUCUCCUUGGCUUAUAAAUUAUAUCACGAAAGACUCCUCUUCUUGCCAUAAAGACCAAAUUCUCACUUGGUCUGUAGAAGAGGUAACCAAAGGAUUUCUGUGGGUAGCCAAUGAAAAUAUACCUCUCGCUUCGAGGUUCGAGCUUGUCGUGAGACUCAUUCCUAACGAAAGCCUUGCAACCCCAAAUCCUGAUGUGGUUCGUAUUGGGAACUUUCCCAGUACCCAUCUCAUGAGGUGUUUUGGCAACCUUUUUGGUAGGGACUAGAUUAAGGAUAUGGGCGGCAGUCUCUAAGGCAUACCCCUAGAAUGAGACUGAUAACAAAGCUCGACUCAUCAUGUAACGAACCAUGUCCAACAAGGUUCGAUUGCGUCUCGCAACCACUCCAUUCAGCCGUGGUGUCCUAGGAGGUGUCAAUUGUGAGACAAUCCCACAUUACUUAAGAUAGUCAAGGAACUUAAUACUAAGAUACUCUCCUCCCCGAUCGGAUCGGAGCAUCUUGAUGUUCCUGCCCAGUUGAUUCUCCACUUCCCGCUUAAACUCUUUGAAAUUUUCAAAGGUUUCUGACUUAUGCUUGAUUAAGUAGAUAUAUUCAUAUCUACCAUAAUCAUCAGUAAAAGUCACAUAGUAGCGAUUACCAUCCCUAGUGGCGAUUUUGAAGGGUCCACACACAUCUGUAUGUAUGAGGUCCAACAAACCUUCACCCCUCUCACAAGUACCAGUGAAGGGUGAAUUUGUCAUUUUCCAAGUAAAAAAGACUCGCAACUAUCAUCUGAAUUUAGGUCAAAUGAUUCCAAAACUCCAACCUUUUGGAUUUGGCCUAUGCGCUUCUUGUUGACAUGUCCAAGACGACAAUGCCACAAGGAUGCUUUAUCCAAGGUGAUCGAAGGAUCAAUAUGAAAUACAUUAUUUCCUAAGUUGUCUACAAUCGACACAAUUUCGUAUACACCAUCACAAGGUAAUAAUUUAAAAUAAAACACAUCAUUAUAAAAUGCCUCAACAGCACCAAUUUAAUUAUCAAAUGAAAAUGUGAAUCCUUGCUUGUACAAACUAUGAAGGGAAAUAAUAUUUCUUGCCAUUUCUGACGAGUAACAACAUUUAUUCAAAUCUAAAGUUAACCCAUUAUUAAGCAAUAAAGAAUAAACUCCAAUCUUGGUCACAGGUGAUGCUUUCUUAUUGCCCAUGAUUAAGUUUAUCUUCCCGUGCUCCACUUCUUCACUACUUCUUAGGCCCUGCAAAUCAGUACAAAUGUGAAUACCACAACCUGUAUCAAGCACCCAAGAGUUAGUAUGCAAUGAGUUUUUAGAAAAUAUGGUAUAAAUACCUGCAUGUGUGGGUUUAACUUUCCCGUCCUUUACAUCCUGCAAGUACUUAGGGUAGCUUUGCUUCCAGUGCCCCUUUUUGUGGCAGUAGAAGCAUUGUGCUUCCUUUGGGUUUGAAGAAGGUGGACUGGGACCUUUCUUGGUCCCACUUGAAGAGGAGCCAUCAAGAGACUUUCACUAGGUACCCUUCGAAGGGGUCUUCCCCUGCCCAAUUGCCAAAACAGGGGCUGUUGUAGGAGUAGGAAUAGAAGUAACAACCGAUUUACCUUUAAGACCACUUUUAGCGGUCCUUAAAAGUUCUUGAAGUUUGCUAAGUGUAACUUCCUCUUUGUUCAUAUGAUAAGUCAUAUGAAAAUGAUAUUAAUUUGGAGGUAAGGAAUGGAGAAUGAGAUCAAUCGCCAUGUCCUCAGGGAAGUCCAAAUUAAGCUUUAGUAACCAGUCCACGAACCUUUGCAUUUUCUUCAAGUGACUGGUGAUGGGUUCACCAUCCUUCAUCCUGGCUGUUAUCGUGGAGGAGAGGAUUUCAUACCUCUCUUGAUGCGCUUUGAUGGUACCUUUCCAUCAGAUCCUGUUGAUUCUCAUAGGGGUAAAAAUCUUCAUAGGAUUUCUAGAGUUCUGGAGUCAUAGUAGCCAACAUAAUGCAAGACACUUUAGUAGCAUCCCUCUCAUGUGCAGCACACUCCGCAAUCUCCACAGGAGUAGCAGUGGACUCAUUGAUAACCUUAAGCUCUUUGUCAAGGACAUAUUUCUUGUCCUCAUAGCGGGUAAUUAUUCUAAUGUUCCUAAUCCAUUCAUUGAAAUUAGAACCAUCAAAAGUGACUUUCCCACAAAAUUUCAUGAGCGAAAAGGAGCCUGUAGGUUUUGAGCCAGCAGCAGUGUUGGAGGACAUCUGAAAGAAAAGGACAUGUUUUAAUUAGAUAAAGAGUCCUUUAUAAGUCACCCAAAUGAAAUAUUAAGGCUAGGAUCCUACAAAGUAUUUCAUAAUUUGGAAGAGGGAUGCCAUAAUCCAAGCUAUAAAAUAUUUGAAGGUAGGUAAAUGACAAUUUACCAAUUUCCACAAAUAUAAACAAAAUAAAUUAUUAAGUUUUAAUUGGAUUUGAAACUCCUAGAUCUUUUGAGAUUCAUUGAACUUUCAAUGGCAUGUUUAAAUCUCGAUUGUGCCCUCUCAAGUUUGUGACUGGGAUGCCGAGGAUCACAAACAAGGUGUGAAUAACCAUGCAAAUUAACUUGGUACCCUUAAUUUUAUCACCCAAUUGAUGUGCCGGUUAAACACACACACUCCACCGAUCUAUAACAAAACUUAAGUCACCCUCUACCACACUUACUGGUCCUUGUUAGUGUGUCAGUUAACCACACACGCUCCACUAACUACUUGGUAAGGUACAAAGUGUAAUUUCAUGGGUUAGCACCUAUUUCACAUUUUCCUAAAGUAACUAAGAUUGGGAAUUAAUAAAGGUUUAGUUACUCGGCUAACGUCCCUCCACCAGUCAAGGAAGUGGUGGGUGAGAGUGGACACCCAUUAAACAACCAUUUUAUAGGCAGUAACCUUAUACCCCCUUAUAGACUGACUUCGUGAAUGAGGCCUACUAACGGUAAGACUGACUUAUUCUUAUACAUAUAUAAUAAUUAAACUUUUAAUAUUAUAGAUGUAUAAGGGUUGAAUUUUAAACUUUUAAAAUUCUAUGGUUCAAUUUGGAAUUAAAGUAUUAAUGUGUGAUAUUUUAUAAAUUCCAAAAUUGAGGGCAAGUUUUGAAACUAUUCAAGACUUUUCAACUUCAUAACUUAUGAGUUAAUGGUUUAUUAAAAUGAGAAGCUUUUCAUUUUAUGUAACCUAUGUGUUUUUAAUAUGGACUUUUAAAAGAGUGACUUUUGGUAAUCCAUAACUUGAGGACAAAUUAUGAAUUCCAUUAAAACACAUAAUUGAUCAAGAAUUAAUCAUUAACCAAUUCAGCAAAUAAUUCCUAUGAUCUAACAAUAACUAAGAAGAACAUGAACAUUCAUAUCAAAAUUUCAAGAAUCAUAUUAAUACAUAUAAAACAUGGAAUUUUGGUAUUAGCCAUUGUAAAAGGAUUGGAAUAACCAUUACACCAUCUAAAACAAGUUUUAAAACACCAAAACAGUUUAGGAUAAUGUUUCUACUCCAUUUCCAGUAGCAUAGCUUGAAAAACUGCACUCUGACAAGCCAACUUGUCGAGUGCAUGAACUGACUCGUCGAGUUGGUUGAAUAUAGGCAUGGACUCGGCGAUCCCACUCAGCAGAAUGCAUAAAACAUGAGUUUUUUCAACUAUCUGUAUCAAGUAUCAAGAAAACAAGCCUAGGAUCUGAUACCACUGUUGGAUUUUGAGUAUUCUAACACUCCUAUGGUAUACAUGCAACCCUAGAAACCUUGGAUCUAUUUUUUCUCUAAAAUACAUGCAAAUUUGAUUUCCAAGGUUUACAACCUAACUAGCAUGUUAUGGGGUACUUGUAACUCAAAACUUUAAGUAGAAUAACAUACCUUUCUUUUGUAGUUGAUUGCUUGAAUUUUUAGAGCCUAGCACCAAUAGUGUGGAUGCCUCAAGUGGUGUUACAAAUCACCCGAAACAACUUGGAAAUACUUGAGAGAAUAUGAAGCUUACUAAAAUCAGCCCACCCUUGUUUCUCACACACACUAGUCGAAUUCUAGAACCAAGGACCUCUUUAUAUAGUAUGGAGGAUCAGGGUUACACCAUAAUACCCAUGACUCUUCAUUUAUCUAGGAUCCAUAGGUUAAAAGCUCCAUGGACUUCCAUAUACUCUUAGCCCAUCCUAAAUAAAUCUUAGCCUAAUCCAUAUAUAUGUAAGAGUCCAUAUUUAAUUAGCCUCUUUUGAUCGUUAAAUUAAUUCCAAAAUCAAUUCUUGAUCAACACUAAUUAAAUAAUAUGAUUUCAUAUUAAUAUAUUAUAACUUAUAAUAUAUUAAUAGAUCAUAAACAUACAAAUUGUUAGGUGAAGUGCAACCCAAAUGGACCAUGCCGUGUCGGGUCAAGUUCAUACGAAAUAUAGUUAUGGACUUAGGCACCUUAUCCAACAUUUUUAUCCUAGAUAAAGAUCAACAUGAGACAAUGAUAGCAAUAAUAGUUCUACUCUUUACACUCAUAACUAUAGACCUAGCUCAAUACAACUAUCUAUUAAACCCAAGGAGUUAAUAGAAACGAAUCGUACCUUUGUGGUUUUCUUAGAAUUAUUUAGUCUAGCUAGUUAAUCGGAUUUGUGAACCUAAUGUAGAGUUUCUCUCAUGUGAUCACACUCAAGAUGUAAAACACCAACAGAUUAGAAAGCACCUUGAAAACCAGCAUGAGUUAAACUCAAUCAUAGGAUCUGAUUGAGACCGCAACGUGGCGACGAGCUACAGCUUAUCUAGGGUUUUUCUUAGGUUUGCUGACUUUUAAAGGUAAAUGGCUAUAAUUGUGUUGUUCCAAAAUCAGGAUUUGACUGCUUUAUUAUUACAGGGAUAUGAUUUGAAACCAUAAAUAUAAUUACCUAAUAUAUUAGUAAUCAUCUAGACUUUCGGUAAUUAUCCAUGAAACAAAUGUUUCUAGAAUAUUUCGUAUUCUUCAUGUUUUUUCUUGUAACUCCUACUUACUACUCCAUUUAAUAAGAGCACAAAACCUGACUGAGAAAGUUUGGAAAGUUGCAUCAACAUAUUCUUUAACACUUAUCUCUUCUUUACCACCAUACACUAAGAACAUAUAUUUAGUGCUUGUAAUAUACUUCAUAAUAUUCUUGAACACGAUCCAAUAACUCUCAUCAUGAUUAGCCUGAUAAUGAGUCAUCAUGCUAAAAGCGCAUGAGACGUCUGGCGUUGUACAUAUGUUGGCGUACAUGAUUGAUCCUAUAUAUAUAUGAAUCAUAUGGUACUCGACUGAUUUUGUCCAGUUAUCUACUAGUACUGGCAUAUUCAGUUAUAUUCAACACACUUUCGUGUUACAUAAGUACAAAUCCUUUCUUAAAUCUUCCUUCCUUAAUUACUUCUAGAUUUUAUCUAAGUAUGUGUUUUAGCUAUGUGCUAUCAGUCGCCUAGAUCUAUCAUUAUUAAUCUUGAUACCAAGUAUGUAUGUAGCUUCGCAUAUGUCCUUCAUAGUUAAACUCUUCCCAAGACAAAAUUUUACACCAUUCAGUGUUGGGAUUUCGUUUCCAAUAAGAAAAUUUUCAUUGACUAUAAGACUAGAAUGAAAAUUACACUCCCAAUAGAUCUAAUAUACACACGUUGUUCAUCUUCAUGUUCCACUCACGAGGUGCUUGUUUAAGUUUAUAGAUGGACUUCUUUAGCUUGCAUACUUUUUUAGGAUACUUGGACUAUACAAAAACUUGUGUCUGAACCAUAGAAACAUCAUCAAUCAAUUUCUCUUUAUGGAAAGCAAUUUUUACAUCCAUUUACCAUAUUUAAUGGUUAUGAUAAGCAGUUAUGACAAGUAGAAUCCUAAUUGAUUUAAUCAUAAAAAUUGGUGAAAUUUUUUCUUCAUAGUCGAAUCCUUGAGUCUAAUUAUAAUCUUUCACAACCAGUCAAGAUUCAUAAGUAUGCAUGUUCCCAUCCAUGUUAGUCUUCUUUUUGAAGACCCAUCAACACCUAAUGGUUUUAAGGCAUCAUGAUGGAUCAACCGAAUUCUAGAAUUGGUUAUCGAUCAUCAUCCAAAUCUCGAUUUUCAUUGCCUUAUUCAAUUUUGUAGUCUCUAGGAUCGCCAUGGAUUCAUGAUAGCUACACAACACAUUAUCUCCCAACAUAUUAUCAUCCUCUUGAGUAAUAAGGAAUCCACAGAACUUUGGUGGUCUCCGCUCUCUAUUAGAUCUAUGAGGUGGAGAUGGAUGUAUAUUAGAUUCCUUAUAAGGUUCUUUAACAUCUUGUUGAGGUCUGGUGUGAAUUCAGGUUUUCAUUAGCCUAUUCGUGAGUCUCAUCAAAAUCAACCUGGCUCCCACUAGUUUUAUUGAGAUACCAAUCCCCUUUCAUGAAAAAAUUCCCAACAACAACACAUAUCUUCGUCUCAGUAGGCUUGUAAAAUAAGUAUUUAAAGGAAUCUUUUUAGUAACCAACAAAGUGACACCUUUCAGAUUUGGAUUCAACUUUAUCGAGCACUUCUCGAUGUACGAAGCCUCACAACCCAAACCUUGAUUUGUGCAAGAGAUGGAUGAAUAUUUUUCCACAUUUUGAAUGGUGUCUUCUCAACCUUAUUACAUGAUUCGGGGUUUAGAAUGUGAGGAAAAGUUUCUAGGAUAAAAAUCCAGAAAAUAGCUGAAAGUAUAGCACGAGUUAUGAUAAAAUGAACCAUUUCUAGCAAGGCUCGAUUUCUACACUUUGAUAAGCCAUAUUGUUUUGGUGUUCUUGGUGGAGCUAGUUGUGAGACUAUCCUACAACUUCAAAAAUUAUAUUAGAAUUCAUCAUGAUGAUAGUCUCCAUCUCUAUCAGAACGAAAUGUCUUGAUUUUCUUACCUAGUUAGUUCUCUUCUUUGUGGAAUGUCUUGAAAAAUUGAAAUGUAUCAUACUUAUUUUUAAUCAAAUAAACAUAUCCAUAUCUACUGAAUUCAUCAGUAAAUAUGACAAAGUAUCCUUCACCAUGUCUAGUGACGUGUUUGAAUGUACCACAUACAUCCGAGUGGACGAUGUCUAACAAAUAGUUCACUCAAUCACAGUUACCUAUAAAGGGUGACAUUGUCAUUUUCUCAAGGUUGAAUGGUUCCAAGAUCCCAUCCGAUUGGAAUUUGGUGAUUCUCUUCUUGUUUAUAUGGCUAAGAUGAAAAUGCCAUUGACAUGACUUAUCUAAAUUAGUCCAACCAACAUUUAAGAUUAAUUUAUCGUUUUUCCUUACACCAAUCGCAAAAUGAUAUACGUCAUUGCAUGGAUUUGAUUUAAAAUAAAGAGUACUAUCUUUGUAAACCAAAAUACUAGCAUUGUUAUAAAAAAAUCCAAAAGUGGAACCGUCACUCCACAAAGCACAAAAUGAGAUCAUGUUUCUUGCCAUGUAAGGAAAAUAUCAACAAUAUAAUCAACUAAUUGAAAAACUAGACGGCACUGAAAGUUCGUAAUCUCUAAUCAUGCUAAUAUUUACCAUACUUUUGUUCCCCAUGAUUAAAUCAAGCUCACCAUGUUUAAGAUUACCACAUCCCUUUAGUCCCCACACAUAUGAAAAAAUGUGGUUUUCACAUCCUGUGUAAAGAAUCCAAUUAUUCGAAGUCGAAGCUUGAUGUAACUCAACAUAAAACAUACAGGAAGAGCCAAUACCCUUGACUCUGAUCUUCUUGAUGUCCUACAUAUAUUUUGGGUAGCUGUGUUUCCAAUGUCCCUUUUCUUAGUAGUAAUAACAUAUGGCCUCUUUGCGACAACUGAUUAAAAUAAGUCAUCAUUCACCGGUCAAAACUACCGCGAACCUACUAUGUAAUAAACUAAUGUAUUAUAUUUCUCACUUUGAAUUUAAUUGGAGUUUUAACACUUAGAAAUAAAUACGAAAUACCAUUUUAGUCUUUAAUGGAUCUAGAUGUUGAGAAAAAGAAAUUAUUCAUAGUACAUAAGUAACGAGUUAAUGCAUUAAAAAUAAGAUUAAGGUAUUAAGUAUUAUUAUGUACAAAUAAUACUCCAAAUAGAUAGAGCAUGAGAACAUGAAUAUGUGGAUAUAAAGAACGUCGAAAAUGAGGAUCGCACAAAAAAGUUACAACCAUUUAACGAAAACAAAUCAGUUAAGUACUUUUGAAUGCAUUUUGGGAAUCAGGCGAUAGCCUAAUAUUUGAUUCCAUUCACAAUAUUUCGUUACCACCAAGUCUUAAUCAUUUUACAAAAUUAGUGGAAAAGCUGAGACCAAAAAACAACUGAUUUAAACCUUUAAACGUGUUUUGACAUAGUUAUGUCCUUUAUUAUGAAAAUAUGUUUACAUAUUUUGAACUUUAAUUUCCCAAACAUUGAACUACUAUUUUCGAAAAAAUGUGAGAUGCCAUUUUUCAUUAGAAUUUUGCAUGCGGAUCGAGGAUGUGACACAUGUCACGAUUAGAAUGGUGACGUAUGUCACUCAAUGCUUGGUGCUAAUUGUCAACAAUGUUUUCAUCCACCUCUCUUCCAUCUCUUUAUAAAUAAGAGAGAUAGAGAGAGAGAGAGAGAUCACACCCCUUCUCUCUCGGUCUCUCUGUCUCUCUCCCCCUCUCUGUCUCUCUCUCUCUCUCUGUCUGUCUGUCUCUCUCUCUCUCUCUCUCUCUCUCUCUCUCUCUCUCUCUCUUUCUAUCUCUCUCUUUCUGCCUACCGGAAUCACAAUAGGUUGCCACACCUCCCCCUCCCCCUUAUAGUCGACCAUCUCCAGUAGCCACAUACUUCUUUCACUCCCUCCGAUCAAUAGCUCCCACAGAACAAACCACUGCUGAGAACAACCUCAAGCCAUCUCUCUCGACGAGAUUCCAGCAAAGUUCUGACGAUGAAAAACUUCCUCGCUUUGACAUGAUAUACAACCCUUUUUAAAUGUUCGUGGAAAAGAGGUGUUGUUCGUGAUGUGCUGAUCUGAAAUCCAAUUUCGGCAUCCAAUACAAAGUUCGCAACAGUUUAAGAGCACGCAUCAUCAGUGAGUUUCAUGACCCCAUUUUUAAACUUUCUAAAGCUUUUUGGGAGAGAAUACAUGCUAUAUAUAUAUAUAUANNNNNNNNNNNNNNNNNNNNNNNNNNNNNNUAUGAUGUUUUCAUGUUACAUAAAUGUUAAAUAUUUAUUUAUAUAUUUAAAAUUAUAAAUCUUAAAUAGUUAUUUAUAGUUAUAUAUUUAUCAAUCAGUAAAUAGUUGUUUCAUUGUCAAAAACAAUAUACACAUCUAUAUAGACUAUUACGCAUAUUUGGAAUUGUUGGUUUUUCGUUGGUAUAAACCUAGUUUUUACUUAAUUUAUAGCCUUAUGAUGCCCAAUUUUUUUAGGACUUUACAUGAUUAUUAGGCAGGGUUGAACCUUUUGUCUAGCAACUUUAUUAGUUAAUGUUAAAGAGACACACUCCUCAAUUUUAGAUUUGCUCAACUCAAGGAAUAUUGAUGAGAUAUCCAUUCAUCAAACCAAGAAUGAAAACAUAGUAAAAAUCCUAUUUACUAUAACCGUUAAUCAAGAGGAAGAGAGGAAGUUGUGUAUAGAUCUAUACAUGUUGACACCCCACCUGUAGUUGCUAGCUACAACCUUUCACUAAGGAGUCAUAAUGGGUGACAACUAUCCAUUUCUGCGAUUAUGCAUCGAUGAAGUGUUUGGAUAACUUUUUGCUUUGCACCCACUAAAGCAUUAUGGUGCAUUCACUAAAGCACCAAAUGGAGGCUUGAUCUAGUCAUAUAGCUUGGUUAUAGUUUCUUGGUAACAUAGAGUACACUCUGAAAACACUAAUAUAAGUAGGAAUAAUAAUUAUAUGUAGUCCAAGUAUAGGCUUGUAUGAUUUACAAGUACCUAUUUAGGUAACUAAUCAAUUGAUGUUGUGAACCCAUCUCAGAUAGUACAAUAUUUCUAAUAGUAAUAUCUAAAACUAAUUAUACCUAUAAUUAAUACACCAUGUGCAUGAUUUAUAUAAACAACAAAUAUUAGCAUCAACUAUUGAGUAUGUGAAUAGCUCAUCAGGUUACAAUAGAGUUUGAAGUCACAAAAAAAUUGAAACACAUAGAAAGCUCAAAAUGAAAUUCAAAAGAACCCCUAACUGCAUCCUAACGAAGAGUCUCUCCUAGUUGAUAGAUAAUUCAAAAAUGACCCCUUACUAAAAGUUAUUUUGUUGCAAAUAGCGAUGCAUUACAGUUUGGUUUUGUGGCAAUGAUAAGGCCUCGAGGCCAGUCAACUAUAACUUCCAUUGUAUAAAAAAACUUUGGGAAGUUAUUGUUCAUGAGGUAAUCAAAGUUGUCUAAUUCUUUACGGUGCAUAAGAUCAUCACCCCCUAUUAUAAUAAUUCCUUUAUGAUACUUGCUCCAAAUCUUCCAACCCGAUCAAACUCACUGAUUACAAGCCGAUUAAUACCAUUGAGUGCAUCACAAAGAUCAUAUAUAAAACUUUGUUGAACGCUUGAAAUGUGUUAUUGAUAGGGUAAUAGGAAAAUAAUAAACCAACUUUAUUCGAGGAAGAAACAUAAUGGAUGGACUAUGAUCAUUAAUGAAGUAAUUUCAUGGACAAAACGAGCCAAGAAGAGAAUAUUGAUGUUUAAAGUAGAUUUUUCAAAAAGAAUUUGGCUCCCUAAAUUGGAAUUCCAUGUUGAGAAGGGGUACCUGCUAAGGAAUUCCAUAUUGAGAAGUGUAUUAGGCAAGGGGACUCCCUUUACCUUCCUUCUUUAUUAUCGUUGUCGACGACAUCUGUGUUGCUAUGCAUGAAGUCGUUGAAAAAGGUGUGUUUAAAGGUAUUAAGUUACAUGAGGAAGGACUGGACCUCUAUAUUAUUUAGUACGCUGAUGAUGCUAUAUAUUUAGGAGAUACAUUUAAGAAAAACACACCUAAUCUUCUUCGCAUUCUAACAUGUUUCCAUGCGGCUUCUGGUCUUAAAAUCAACCUCCAGAAGUGUAAAGGUUUUGGAGUCGGGGUUAACUCCUUAGAGAUAGCAGGCAUGGUUCAAUGGUUGGGAUAUGAAGGCAGUUGUUUCCCUUUCGAGUACCUUGGUAUGUCGGUCGGAGAUGCAUGUCCUGUUUUGUGAACUGGGCUCCUCUUAUAGAUAGAUUUCAAAGCAAAUUACCUAGUUAUAAGGCCCACUAUCUAUCGUUUCCGGCAUGGUUAACAUUGUGCAAAUCAUUUUUGGGAUCUAUUGGUUCCUUCCUGUUUUCCAUGUAUAAAGCACCUGGUAAAGUCAUUUCCAAAUUAGAGAGCAUCACGGACACAUUUUUUUGGAUGUAAAGGUGAUGAAGAUUACUUAGAUAUCAUUAACAAAAACAAUGAAUUCUAAAGGUUAGGGAGGGGUAUAUGUGGGCAUCUAUUGUCCUUCCAAUAUUUCCCUCCUAACUAAAAGGUGGUGCAGGUUUAGUGUCGGUCCCGAAUGCCUUUAGAAGGAUGUUGUUAUCGUUUUAUACUAUUAUAAUGGGAGUCUCCACAUUAGUAAACCUACUAUACUUAGAUCCAUGGUAUGGGAAAAAAUUUGUGAUAUUAUUGAAGCUUUUCUUCCAUAUGAUUUAGAUUUAAAUGUUCUUUUUCAUCCAGAUAACAUUGUGGGAAAAUCUGAAAAUGAUUGUUGGAAUUGGUCUCUUGAUAAUGAUGUUUCAUUUUAUGUCUCAUCUCUAAGGAAAACUAUCGAUUCUCGGUGCCUGGAUUUUGUCCUACUGUCAUCACUUGGUGCAAGGUUGUUCACAUUAAAGUCUAACUUUUCAUUUGACGUUUAAGGUUGUACAGAUACCUAAAAAAGAGAAUCUGGCACGUGGAGGAGUUUCCAUUUAAUCCCUAAUUUUCUUUUUUUGUAAAUCAAAUCUCGAGAAUGAGGAGUAUCUUUUCUUGAAGUGUUUAUCGGCUAAGAAGAUUAUGGCCAACCUUCACAUGUGAUGGUCCGCCCUUCUUGUUUUGGCAAGUGUCAACUCCGUUGAAGAUAUUAUUGUUGGUUUAGAGAAUCUCAACUUCUCUCCAAGUCGUAAACUUUGAGUUAGUUGUCAAAUCUUUCUUGUGUUUUAUGUGGUCUUACAGAAAUGACAUAUGUUUUAAUGGUAAGGAGAAAAACAUUCAUCACUUAGUUGUUGAUAUAUUGUAUUUCACAUUUUUGUGGGUUAGUGUUGAGUUAGUUGAUAUCUGAUUCUUCAGACUUAUAAUUCAUUUGUGUAUCCUUUUAUGUCCUUAAAUUGUAUUUGUUAAUUAUUUAGGGUAGAUUGUGUUAGUUUUGUUUCUUGUGUUAGAUAUUUGCAGGAAGGGUGAUUUGUGCAAAGUUGGAGAAUGAUCUGGACUGCGGAGCAAAUCUGGAACAUAUCAAGCAGGAACAUGCCGGUUGUAUUUGUUUGUAAUCGGGUUGACAUGAUGUAUAAACAAGUGCUUUGUGUGUGUGUUUGAUUCAUUCUUGAUUGAUCAUAUUCCUUGAGAGUUCACUCUUCUCUCUCUCUUUGAGUAGUUCGUUUAGCUCUGUAAUUGAUCAUAUCUUGUUAGAGUCGUUCUUGUUCCUUUUGGUUGUCUCUAUAUUUAAUGAAUAGACUAGAACAUAAAUCUAAGGGUUGAGUGUGAUUGUAGUGAGCUUUAUUUUGUAAGUAGAUGAAAACCAAUUGAUUCUUGCUUGAAUAAGAAUUGUUGAUAUUGUGAUAUCUUGAGUCUUUAUAUUUUAGUUUUCUUUAAAUGGUAUCAGAUCCUGGUUCAGCGUUUUUUGUUGUUUCUUUUUUAGGAUUUCUGAUUAGGUUUUCGGUUAGGGGUUGUGUCUCGAUCUAGCUCUGGUUUGCUUCCGUUGUUAGUGAUUCAUAUUAGGGUUUGUGUCUAUCUAGUUCUGUUUUCAUCGGUCUGUAUCAGAUCGUGAAGGUUAUUUGUUGAUCCGUUUUUGGAUCAUGAAGUUGUUUCUCCAUCAAUUAUGGUGUUAUCUUGUCACUAUCUUGAGAGUCAACAUCAAGAUUGUGCAAACAGGGUAUCAUUAAUAGAGUUGGUGUUAGGCAUUUUAAUGCCAUGUAGUGGUCAGUGGUAGAUCUUUUGGUAUAUCGAAAUGACUUAGCUGCUUGUUGUGUAAUUUUUUAGUUGAUCAUUGUAAGUGUUUGCAUGCUUUCGCUUCUAUUUCUUACUUUUGUGUUUCUUUGUGGUGUUUUAGAUCUAUCAUCUAUCUGCUAAUCUUAGUUGCUUUACGUCUAUAUCUCAUCCUGCUCUGAUCUUAUAUGGUUAUGAAUUUGGACUGAUUUACAAAAACUGUUUGUAAACUUCUAAGGUUAGGGCUUGGAUUCGUGAUUUUUCUAGUGUCUGAUUCUUUGUAGUAAUGACUGGUGAAACACCUGAAGGAUCUUCUUCUGGUAAAUCUGAAACUGUUGAUUUUGAUGAUCCUUUGUAUCUUCAUCCUUCUGAUUCUGCUAGUAGUACUAUUAUUAGUUUUGAACUACUAGGAACUGAGAAUUUCAGAGUUUGGAAAAGCUCUAUGACUAGAGCUUUGAAAGCUAGAAAUAAAAAGGGAUUUAUUGAAGCUAUUGAAAUUUAGGAUAAAAAGGAUCUUGUUAGAUCUCUUAAGUGAGAAAGGGUAAAUGCUAUUGUCUGUUCUUGGAUUCUUAACUCCUUAUUUGAGAAUAUCUAUAUUGGUCAUGUAUGCUCUGAGUUUGCUUUGGAUAUUUGGAAUGAUCUAUGUGACACUUAUUAUAAGGCUGAUGGAUCUGUUGUUUUUAAUGUCCAUUAACAAAUAAAUUCUCUUUCUCAAAACGGUUUGUCUGUUUCUGAUUACUUUAACAAACUUGAUGGUCUAUGGAAGGAAUUUGAUAGUUUAACUAAGUGUACUGAGUGUGUUUUGGAUGUUGCUGUUCAAUCUAAAGUCAUUCUAAGCUCAUGCAACUUAUGCAAUUUUUAAGUGGUUUAGAUGAGUCCUUUAAUCAGGUCAAGAGUCACAUUUUUCUAAUGGAACCUUUACCUGAUGUUAAAACUACCUUUUUUGUUGUGUCUAGAGAAAAGUCUAAUAAAAAAUGGAUCUAGUUCUGUUCAGUCUAACAAGAGUAGCUCUUCUUCAGCUUUUGCUGGAAAAAUUAAUGAUAACAGGAAAUUUAAAGGUAGAAAUCAAAAUUUGGUCUGUAAAAAUUAUGGUAUAAAAGGACACACAAUUGAAAAGUGUAAUAAACUUAUUGGGUAUCCCAAGGAUUUCAAAUAUAAAUAUGAUUUUAAUAAGGUUUCUUCAUCUGGAACUGCUUUCCCAUGUUAGUUCACAUGUAAGUGAGAAUUUUAAUUCUUCGGUAACUCCUUCUGAUAAGUCUAAGCAACAUUUUUUGACAAGUGAACAAUUUUCUAAUGUUUCGUCUCUUCUUAAUGAGAAACUAUCAUUAGAAGAUGUUACUGGAAAUGCCAACAUGGCAGGUAUGAUGUGUAAUAAUGUUUCCUUUAAAAAUAAAAAUUGGGUUGUUGAUUAAGGAGCUAGUCAACAUAUGACUUCUUCUGAAUCACAACCUUUUGAUAUGGUUGAUGUUUCCAAGCUAAAAUUAAAGGUGGAUCAUCCUAAUAGACCCACUAUGAAGAUUGACAAAAUUGGAAACAUGAAUCUUUCGGAUUCUAUCAUCUUAACUGAUGUUUUUGUUGUUCCUGAUUUCCAUGUGAAUGUCUUAUCUAUUCAUAAGUUGUGUAAGGAAAACAAAUGUAAAGUUACUUUUGAUGAAAAUAGUUGCUAUGUUCAGGAUUCUCUCUCCAAAAUGACUGUGCAGAUUGGUAAAGAGUUUAGAGGUCUUUACUAUCCUGAAAACAACAAUAACUCUCUACGUAGGUCAAGUAUUGUUAAUUGUUCUAAGUGCUUUGUGUCUAAACUUACAUGGCAUAAUAAGUUAGGUCAUCCUGCUUAUAAGGCUUUAAUUGUGUUAAAACCUGUUCUUAACUUUGAAAAUGAAAAUGUUAUGCCAUGUGAAGUUUGCCAUAAGGCUAAACAAACCAGGGAACCUAUUCCGUUAAGUGAGCAUAACACUAGUAAACUUGGUGAACUUAUUCAUCUAGAUGUUUGGGGUCCUUAUAAAGUUCGUACUGUUGGUGGUUUUAGGUUCUUUAUCACUAUUGUUGAUGAUUUUACUAGAGCUACCUGGGUUUAUCUUUUGAAGUAUAAAAUUGAUGUUUUAUUUUGUUUCCAAGAGUUUCAUGCUUUAGUUGAAAAAUCAAUUUAGUGUUAAAAUAAAAACAAUCAGGUCUGAUAAUGGGUCUGAGUUUGUGAAUUUUAUUGUGAAAACUUCUCUUGAAAGAAGGGGUAUUGUACAUCAAACUUCAUGUGUUCAUACUCCACAACAGAAUGGUGUUGUGGAGAGAAAACAUAGACAUAUUCUAAAUGUUUCUAGGUCUCUUUUAUUUCAGUCUGGUUUACCUAGAAAGUUUUGGGGAGAUGCGGUUCUUAAAACUGUUUUUUUUAAUAAAUAGAACUCCCUUUUCUGUUUUAAAUGGUAAAACUCCCUUUGAUCUUGUUUAUAGUUGUGUCCCUGUUUUUGAUAAAAGCAGAGUAUUUAGAUGUUUCUGUUUUUCAAAUAAACUGGGUAUUAAAGAUAAAUUGUCUGAAAGAUCUGAAACAUGUAUUUUAAUUGGUUAUUUAAAUGUUAAGAAAGGGUAUAAAUUGUUUAGUCUUGAUAGUGGAAUGUCUUUUUUCUCAAGGAAGGUAAAGUUCUAUGAGUCUGUUUUUCCUUUUAAAAUGGCUUCAAAAUCUGUCGCCUUUGUUGAUUCUCUUGAGUAUCGUUCUUUGAAUGAUCAUGGUCCAUGGGAUCCUUUUUCCAAUGAUGAAAUUUUGUUGUCUGAUAAUCUUGAUGAUAGUCAAGAUUCUAGAAAUUUAAAUGGUACUUAUCAGGAGGGUGAUAUUAGUGUUGAUCAACCUGUGAGUGCAACUGAUUCCAGUUUUGAAGGUAGUUUAAAUAGAACUGCAACUCUUCCUGAUUGGGAAGGUUCUCGAGGUUGUGAAACACAUGGUUCGCAACCUGAUCUAGUUACAUUUGAAUCUCUAGACAAUUCUGAGGAAAAUUUAGUUUCAUCUCCUUCUGAUAGUCAAUCUUUGAGGAGGUCUCAUAGAAAAUCUAAAUUUCCAAAAAAAUUUAGUGAUUAUGUUAUUGAAGGAAAAUAUAAAUAUGGAAUUGAGAAUAUGUUAACUAUUCCUUUUUGGAUUCUGAAAAUAGAUAUUUUUUUUACUAAUCUUAACAAGAGUGUUGAACCUUUUUCAUAUUAUGAAGUUUCCUUAGAUCCCAAUUAGGUUAAAGCUAUGAAUGAUGAAAUGGAAGCUUUGUAUAGAAAUAAAACUUGGAUUAAUUGUGAUUUGCCUUAUGACAGGAAACCAAUUGGUUGCAAAUGGGUCUAUAAGAUUAAAUAUAAAUCAAAUGGUGAGGUUGAAAGAAAUAAAUCUAGGUUGGUAGCUAAAGGCUAUAAUCAGAGAGAAGGUUUAGAUUAUGAAGAAACCUUCGCUCAUGUAGCUAAAAUGGUUACUAUUAGGAUUGUUAUUACUAUUGCUGUUAAUUCUGGACGGAAAUUGUUUCAGCUUGACACUAAUAAUGUUUUUUUUAUAUGGGGAGUUAGAUGAAGAUGUUUAUAUGUCCUUGCAUCCAGGAUAUCAUGAUAAAAGCAAUAAUCAAGUCUGUAAAUUGUUGAAAUCUUUUUAUGGGCUUAAGCAGGCUCCAAGAAAGCGGAAUGAAAGAUUAUGUGGUGCUUUGUUUGAAUUUGGUUUUGUACAAAGUGUAGAAUGAUUUUUCUCUUUUUGUUAAGUAUAGUAAUAAUUGUUUCCUUGCUCUUUUAGUUUAUAUUGAUGAUAUUAUACGUACUGGUAGUAGUGUUGAUGAAAUUAACAAAGUAAAGAGUUUUUUAAAAUCUAAGUUUCUAAUUAAAGAUUUGGGAAAAUUAAAGUUUUUUUUGGGUAUUGAGGUUGUAGAUAUUCAUAAUGAUAUUUGUUUGUGACAGAGAAAAUACUGUAUUCAAUUAAUACAUGAAUUUGGUAUUUUAGGUUGUAAAGUUGUUAAAAUUCGUUUUGAUAAUAAUGUUGUUAUUAGAGGAGACGGCUUGGAUAAAAAUGAUAGUUUAAUUCCUAAUGUUGUUUUGUUUCAAAAAUUGGUUGGUAAACUAAUUUACUUAACCAUUACCAGGCCAUAUAUUUGUUAUUCUAUGCAAGUUUUAAGUCAAUUCAUGCACAGUCCAAGAAAGUCUAAUUUUAAUAUUGCUAUAAGACUUCUGAGGUAUUUAAAGAAUAAUCAUGGAAGAGGUUUUUCUAUUGUGAAAUCAGAUGCUUUGUGUCUUAAAAGUUUUGUUGAUGCAGACCAGGCAAAAUGCCUUGUUUCAAGGAAGUCUGUAACAGGGUUAUGCAGUAUUUUUUGGUAAUAAUCUUGUUUCGUGGAAAAGUUAGAAACAUGAAACUAUUUCCCGCUCGUCUAAUGAGUCUAAAUAUCGAUCCCUUGGUAUCCUAUCUUGUUAAAUAAUGUGGAUUCUGAAAGUUCUUUUUGAUCUUGGAAUUAAGAACAAAACUCAUGUUCCAAUACUUUGUGAUAAUGAAUCAGCUAUAAAGCUUGUUCUUAAUCCUGUAUUUCAUGAGAAAACCAAACACUUUGAUGUUGAUUUUCAUUUUAUUAGAGAUCGUGUUUCAAAAGGAAUUAUUGAGGUUUUAAAAUUUAGUUAUGAUAAUAAUUUGGUUGAUAUUUUUACUAGAGCUUUGAGUGUUUCUCAACAUGAAUUGGUUUGUCAAAAGUUAGGUCUUGUUGACCCUUUCCAAGGAAUUUACUAAUGUUUACUUUGAAUUUUAAGUUUGAGGAGGGGUGUUGAGUUACGUGAUAUCUGAUUCUUCAAACUUAGAAAUUCAUUUGUGUAUCCUUUUAUGUUCUUAAAUUGUAUUUGUUAAUUAUUUAGGGUAGAUUGAGUUAGUUUUAUUUCUUGUGUUAGAUAUUUAUAGGAAGGGUGAUUUGUGCAAAGUUGGAGAAUGAUCUGGAGUGCGGAUAAAAUCUUGAAAAUAUCAAGCAGGAACAUACGGGUUGUAUUUUUUGUAAUCGGGUUGAUCUGAUGUAUAAAUAAGUGUUUUGUGUGUGUGUGUGUGUGUUUGAUUCAUUCUUGAUCGAUCGUAUUCCUUGAGAGUUCACUCUUCUCUCUCUCUUUGAGUAGUUCGUUUGAGUCUGUAAUUGUUCAUAUCUUGUUAGAGUCGUUCUUGUUCUUUUUGGUUGUCUGUGUAUUCAUUGAAUAGACUAGAACAAAAAUCUGAGGGUUAAGUGUGAUUGUAGUGAGCUUUCUUUUCUAAAUAGAUGAAAACCAACUUAUUCUUACUUGAAUAAGAAUUCUUGAUGUUGUGAUAUCUUGAGUCUUUAUAUUUUAGUUUUCUUUAGAGUUAGUUGUAGAGGUAGAGGUUUUGGAACCUUAAGUUGGGAACCUAGGCUCUAGCCUUAUGUAUUUCUUCCGGUUUCUAGUUAGUUUUUUUUUUCAAAAAAAAAAAAAAUGCUACACGUCUUGAAAUGGAGAGUUUUCAACAAAUCAACAAAGUCUGAAUAAAUUAUAUAGGGUUUUCAACAAAUCAACAAAGUCUGAAUAAAUUAUAUAGGAUAUAAAUUACAUUAUAGUGAUGACCAUAUUAACGAGUUAUUACCCAACAAUCAUUUGAUUUAUGUAUUAUUUUGAGAAAUAUAUGAAUCAAUUAUAAGAUACUUCCUACAUGAUACAAACGAAAAUCGAUAAAUUCAAAAAAUCAUUAUCAAUCCUAUUAAUAAAGUUCGAAUUAAAAAAGCAUACUAAACAUAUAGAAUUUUAUAUUUCAAAUUGAUCUAUUUAUAUUGAUAUUUUUACUUUUUACAUAAUAUUGAUUACAUGAGAAAUGAAAUCGGAUGUUGCCGUGUAAUUUCCUACCAGCCACCACCAUUAAAAAAUUAUUAAAAUUUAGUAAAUUUUAUGUCAAAAUCAUUUUUUAUAAUUCUCAAGUUGUAAUGGUUAAUGCUUAAUACCCAAUUUACAUAAUAAUUUUCCAUCAAAUAUAGUAUCUCUUGAUAAUGACUAUACACGAUUUUAAUUAUAAAGGUUUUAAAUAGAGUGAAAUGUGAUAUUUUGUUGUCGUCAAACCUCAAGCUUUAUAAGUAAGGCGGUAAACGAGCUAAACCGUACCGAAAUUGAUCAAACUCGAGCACGACUCGUUUGAUUUUUAAGAAGCUCGAGUACGACUCGUUUAAUUUUUAAGAAGUUUGAGUUUGAUCAAGCUCGAGCACGGCCUAUUUGAUUUUUAAGAAGUCUGAGCAUGACUCGUUUAAUUUUUAAGAAGCUGGAGCUUUAGUUCAACAUGAUUUAAGCCAUAAGAAGGAAGUUUGAACUCAGCUCUUGAACAAUUUUGUGAGACCGCAAGUCGAUAUGAGCCUAAACGUUAUAUAUAUAUAUANNNNNNNNNNNNNNNNNNNNNNNNNNNNNNNNNNNNNNNNNUAUAUAUAUAUAUAUAUAUAUAUAUUAUUGGGUUUUAUUUAAUAUCGUUUAAUCCAUCAAUGAUCAAUUUGCAAUCAUGGAAGGAUUGAAUCAACCAUACAACGAAGCUCUCUAUAAUGUAUCUACCAAAAAAGUAUCAGCCAUAAAACUAGUUAGUCUUUACUUUUAUUAAUUUGUUGUUAAGCCAUUAAGACUUAUACCAAAUAAGUGUUAGGAGAAGAAACUUAUGAGCCUUUAAAUCUUACACAAAAUUGUAAGACAAGGUGGAGAGGAUGUGGAAUGAGCACCCUCGGAUUUGCAAGCCAACAAAGGGAGAAAAGGAACCAAAAUAACAACUAUUUUCUACUAGCUCUUGGUUUUUGGCAGCCAAGACGGAGGAGAAAAGAGAUUGAAAUAGAAGCAAGUUUUUCAACCAUACACUCCUUUGUAUACUAAGAGACAUGUACAUGACUCAAAGCUAGUCAUAAAGGAAUGUGUGGUCUCUCUUACAAGCAUGGAGUAGUCUAAAUGAAGAGAAUCCAUGGCUCCAACAUGGAGUGUGGAGUGUUUGUGUUUUGUUUUCUCAUCAAACUAACUAGUUUCAUAUACUACCUAGAUGGUUACUCAGAGUGUCAAUUAAAUUUGUACAUAAGAUAUACAUUCAUUCCUUAUAAAUAUAACUACUUUUGUUCUCUUUCAUCAUCAUUUCACGGAAAUAAUAGUUUCCCAAUUAGUUGUGAAAAUAUUAUCUUCAUAAAAUAACAAUUUCCAAUUAAAAACAAACGUUUAUUGUAUUUAUAAAUAUUUAUAUUUCAUUAAAAAACAAUCAAUUAGUGGUAGCUUAUUAUAAGGUGUGACCUUAUAGGAUCAUAUGUUGUUAGAAAAUAUUAUUAUGUAAUGGCUCUUGGGCAUAAUGACCUUUUAAUCUCCCACUUGCACAAGACUAAUUAUAGAUUGAAAUAGAUAGUAGUGAACAUCUAGAAAAAAUUUACUACCCCUAAUAGCACACGAAGAAUAAUUUCAUUCAUUAACAUCGAAUUCCUUGAAACUUAAAAAUGCAAUUGAUGUAUAAUGUAAUUUUAUCAGUUAGCCCAUUAUUAUAGACAUCAUGUUGAACAUGAGACUUGGAGCACAAUAAAUCUCAAUUUGUGUUCAACUUUGGGUAAUGCAUAUUAGAUAUCCAUUUCUCAACACUUAAGAGGAAAAAAUCGCAUCUUGGAUACAUAAGCCUCUUGUAUAGUUCAUACUAAACCUGAUAAUAGCGUUUACAAUUGCCUGUUUAAAGAUCAAAAUUUUAACACAUCAAAGUAUCGCAUUUCCUACACUUAAGUCCCUCUAUGCAUCUUAUGUAUUAAGAAACUAAAUAUAGUACCUUUUCUUUAUCAUGUAUCUCCCAUAAAAACGAUCUAUGAGCUGAUUUUGAUGCCGCCCAUGUUCGAUAUUAUUUCUUUGGUGAGUACCUAUGAAUCUUGGUUACAAGCUAUUGCCUAAAUUCAUCUUAUGAGAGUCUACCAAUCCAAUUCAUAUUAGUUUUACUUCGUAAUUACUCCCACAGUUAUAACCGAUUAUGAACUUUUAGAAAAAUUACAUUAUUUAUGGACUAAACAUGUUGAUAUAGCACACAACAAGUAUUGAAGUGAAGAUCAUAUCCCAAUAUAUCUAAAAAAUAUAAUAGUUGUUGUGUUAUUGUUCCAAUAUCCAAAUACAAAAUCCAAAUCAAAUCCUAUUUCUAUAAUAACAAAGUCUUUUAACUUAAAGUUGACCCUUCAUGCUUUCUUCAAAAGAAACACAUUAUUAAUGCGUCCGAAUAAAUUUCAAUUGAAUGUAUUAUGCCAAUAUUAUCGUCUCCAUAUUUGACUUUAUUCUAUGUAAAGUUAAAUACGCCCUAAUGCAUGCCAUCUGAUAUGCUAACUUCAACUGUUAUGCUACUAGAACUGAUCAUACAAGAAGGUUACUUACCAUUAUUACCAAUGCUUUCGAACAUCUAUAGUAGUAGAAGAUGCCCUAAUCCAUGCCAUUCGAUAUGCUAACUUCUACUAUUAUGCUACUAGAAUAGGAAUUGAUCCUUGAAGAAGGUUACCUACCUUUCUUUCAAGUUUUUUUUAUUUAUAUUUUGGUGCGUCUCAAAGAAAGUUAUUAAUAAGUUGAUCUUGAUGGUGUCAAAACAUUGGCAGAUGACAAAACUGUAGCCAUAGUUGUCAUCAACCUAGGGAAUCUGUAAUGUCCCAAAAGUUUGUAGUAAAAUUUUCAUUUUUAAACCAAUAAACCAUAUAGAAUAGUUUUUCCAAACCUAGUCAUAGUGAAUACAUCAUUUAAACAUCAGAGUAAAAAUCACAAAUAGCCAAUGCGGAAAAUUAUGGGUAUUUUGUGCAGUCACACCGUGCCCUAAUCUUUUGAACCGGUAGUAACUGGAACCGUAAACAUGAAACCGUAAGCAAAAAGCUUAGUGAAUUCCCCAAAAUACGACAUACCAUAUGUAACACCCGAUCCCUGGUAUACUACCUUUCAAGUAUUUCUUAUGUUUUUCUCUGGGACUCGAUGAGUUGGUGGCCCAACUCGUCGAGUAGAUUCGUGAUCCGCAGGGAGUUUAAAUGACCUACUCGACGAGUUGGGAGACUGACUCGGCGAGUAGGUGUUGUUUGGGUGAAAAUCUAAUUUUGAGGGUUUGUGCCUUAUUUAAACAACUUUUCUUACCCUCCACGGUCCCUAUUAAUCCCAUAAAGCAUUAUCUCGAAAACCUAGUGUAACGUCCCGUCUAUCGUAUGUCUUUUUUUAUAUUAUUUAUUUAGAAGUUUGCAGAGGGACUCGGCGAGUCUAUUGCCCGACUCGUCGAGUAGAGAUGGGAUUUCAAGCACAUGUAAGUUGGUGACUCGGCGAGUCCGCCUGCCAGGACGAAACCCUAAAUCCCCGGGUUUGCUCACUAUUUAAGCAAUGUUAUGUGCCCCAACUCGCCUCCUUCACCCUCAGAGAGCUUGUGAGAAACCCUAAAUCAUUCCUUGUGUGAUUAAAGUGUUUUUGGUGUGGGUUCUUGAAGGAUUGAAGAGGAGAAAGAAGAAAGGACCCAAAAGAGGAAGUGUAGAGCAAAGAUCCAAGGCCAAGUCAGGGUUUAUUGAGGUGUGUUUCAGAAUUUCUAUGUUUUAUGCUUAAAAUCUCCAUUAGAACACCUCUAAGGCUAGUUUAAUGUAUUUUCGAAGCUUAUUAGUUGUAUGGAUGCCUUAUUGGUUCGAGUUAUCCCCAGAUCUGUUCAUUUAGGAGUUUUAGAGCCUAGAUCUAAUGCCUUUUUCGAAGUUGUCUUGCAUGAGAACCCUAGAUCUAGCCUUAUUAAGCCGUUUGAGCCUUUUAAUCUUCAUGCAUGCUUAUGGGCACGCAAAGAUAGAAUCUUUACGUGUUAAUCGAGCAUAAGAAGCCCAGAUCUGCAAGUUAUAUGCGUUGGAUUCAAGCAAAAUCGAGUUAUUAGUAACUGCAUGCAUACGACUCGGCGAGUCGUUCUUCGAACUUGGCGAGUCGAGCCGCGAGUCCCCAAUUUUUCCCCUUUUGAGUGAUUCCGAGUGGAGACCAGUGAGUAGUUGGAUGGACUCAGUGAACCGGAGAUCAGACUCAGUAAUGGAGGGACUCGACGAGUUGUUCAUACAACUCGGCGAGUCCAAGGCAAUCUUCAUAGAUUCAAGAACAACCCGUUAAGUUGUUCAUACAACUCGGCGAGUCGGAUGUAGAUAGCCUGAGUUCUAGAGUCGAAAGGGAACUCAUCUAGUUGGUGCUAUACUCGACGAGUAGCAGCGAACAGGGUUGAGAAGUGAGAGUAGAGACUUGACGAGUUGACGGCCCAACUCGGCGAGUCAGGUCAACUGUAAGUUGACUUUGACCGAGAGAGUUGACUUUAGCCAGGGGUGAAAGAGUCAUUUUACCCCAAAGCAGUUAUUAGUAUUGAUUGAGUGUGUUUGUGGAAUUGUAGCCUGGGAGAUACCAGAGCGGCACCAUAUAGCUUCUAGAGCCUUACACUCAGCAGCCAGUUCACGAGGUGAGUUUCCUUCCAGUAGGAACGGGUCUAAGGCCACAAUGCCGGCCCGUUCAGUUAGUAGUAGUUUCCGGACUUCGGUCCGAUGCAGUAGUUAGUAUGUUUGAUGCCUUCGUGGCUCAGACAAGAUUUAUGUGUUAUGUGUUAUGUGUUAUGUGUUCCGGGCAACGACCCGAUGUAGUAUGCAGUAUAUGUGUUUAUGCUAGUUGAUAUGUUAUGCUAUGCUAUGUUCAGUCAGUUUCCGGACUUCGGUCCGAUGUAGGGGCAAGGCCCCAGUUAGUCCGGACUUCGGUCCGAUGCAGGGGACAAGGUCCCAGUCAGUUUUUGGACUUCGGUCCGAUGCAAGGGGCAAGGCCCCAGUUAGUCCGAACUUCGGUCCGAUGCAGGGGACAAGUUCCCAGUCAGUUUCCGGACUUCGGUCCGAUGUAGGGGGCAAGGCCCCAGUUUGUCCGGACCUCGGUCCGAUGCAGUGGGCAAGGCCCAAUAUGUGCUUUAUAUGUAUUGUAUGAUAUGUGGUAGUUUGGGGGAGCUCACUAAGCUUCGUGCUUACAGUUUCAGUUUUGGUUUCAGGUACUUCCGCAAGCAAAGGGAAGAGCUCAGGAUUAUGGCAUCGCACACACCACAACUUCAGUUUUUGUCCUGGGAGUUGAUUCAGUUUCUUCGAUAUGUUUUGAUACAGUUUAUCUCACAGUGUUUUAUAUGGUUUUGAGAUACGCUACGUAUGAUUUUAUUAUGUGAUACUCAGUUUUAUGAUCUUUGUUAUAUUUAAAAAUGAAAUUUUCGGGUCGUAUUUUUGGGAUGUUACACCUAGCGUUGUGUGAGUGUCCUAAGACCAUUUUUAUGCAUUUUGGUGGAUUGUGAAGCAUGAAAAGAGGAAGGAAGCUUGAGAGUUCGAUUUGGGGCUUGGAGAUCCAGAGAUUUUGUUCCAUUUCUAGCUCAUUCAAGGUAAAAUGCCCCUGCCUUGGUCUUCCAUGUGUUUAUUCAUCCUUAGGGCUUGGAUUUUGAGUAUCUUUAGGGCUUUCUAAGGUAUUUUCGGAUUAGUGAAGGGUUAUAUGGAGCUUUGACUUCAGAUCUGGGUCAUUGGAAGGGUCUCAUUGCAUAAAGGUGCCAACUCUAUGGCCAUGAGAUCCCCAUGCACUUUGUAGAACAUCUUUUAUGGCUUUUUGAGCCAAAGACCCCUUGCAUGUGCACCAAGCUUGGAACUUUACGUGUAUAAUGGACAUUAGGAGGCCAUAUCUAUGGUUUUGAUGUGUUAAGACCCAUUUAGAUCGACUGUAUAGUAAUGAUCAAGGAUGGACUGGCGAGUCAUUCUUGGGACUCGGCGAGUCGGGGUAUAAUGACCACCGAAUCCUGUCUAUCGAUGGACCAGAUGAUAGUGUGGAAGGUCCCUAAGUUGUUUAGGCUCAUAAGGGACCUGGGAAUCAUGGGACUCGAUGAGUGUUUGAGCAAACUCGACGAGUCCAAGGUAAUCUCCUAAUGUUUGAAGAUGGACUCGAAGAGUUGUUCAUACAACUCGGCGAGUCAUAGACUGGACGCAUCCUUAUGAGGGAGAUGAACUCGAAGAGUUUAAGGAUGAACUCGACGGUACGGAUGAAGAUGGUCCCGAUGGUAUGAUUGAAGGAGAACCCGUCAAGUUCUUGACAGACUCGACGAAUAGAGUCGGGGAUUGUAUCGAGAUAGAGGAGUAUAGACUUGACGAGUUGGUAGACCAAUGUUUACUUUGAUUGAAUUUAGUUGACCCUGGUUAGGGUUGCAUAUUCAAAUUGAUAACUUAGAAGGGUUGUCAUGUAGGGAUUGAGGAGUCGAGAAGAGUUGAUUUGCAUGCUGAGGAUAGUUCAGACACUACAUGACAUCGAGGUGAGUUACCUUCCAGUAGAAGUGGGUCUAAGGCACCAAGGCCGGCCCACUAAUAGUUUUUUGGUUGAGAUAAUUGUCUGGUUUGCUAUGGCUUGAUAUGUGCAUAUGCUAGUAUGCUAUGUUAGGUGGGAUAGUACCAGUAGGAGGGGACCAGUCCCCGAUUCGGUCGUUAAGACCAAUGGGUAGGUCGGACACCCCAGAAAUGUCUGACAUCAUGAUUAUGAUGUGAUAUUAUAUGCUAGCGGUAGGGGUGAAAUAGUCCCCGUGAUCGGUUGAGAUAGACCGGUGGGUAGGUCAGCCCCCUAGAAUGGCUUGAGAUGGGUAGGUCAGCACCCCAGAAUGGCUUGACAUGGGUAGGUCGGGCGCCCCAGAAUUGCUCGGCAAUAUGUAUGUUGAUUUGUAUGUGGUAUGAUGGGGGAACUCACUAAGCUUUGUGCAAACAGUUUUAGUUUUGGUUUCAGGUACCUCUUCGUCUAAGGGGAAGGAGUCGACGGUGUAGCAACACAUCACACACACACAUGAUUCCCGCUUAGAGUUUUUUGGGAUUGUACUCUGAUAUUUUAUUACUUCAGAUGAUAUAGGUUUCAGACAUGAUACUACGGUUUUAUGUUAUGACAUUAUUGGCAAUGUCUUGAUAAUUUAUUUUAUAAAUCACAUAAUUAAAAAUGAAAUUUUUGGCCUUGAUUUUUGGGAUGUUACAAGUUGGUAUUAGAGCCUUGGUUUAAGGGAUUCUGACACACCCUCGUGGGUGCCUGGACUCAAAUCAAGGGCUUGAAAGAUUUUCUGCAAUAAAAUAGUUUUCAAAAAUCUAAGUCAAAGAAUUUUGAGAAAGGACAAGGUGUGUGAUGCAUGCGACCGGCCGAGCUCAACUAAGUUUUCCCCAAGAUACCCAUACUAGUUAUGUUAUGAUAUAUGAUGUGAUCAUGAGAACUGCAUGAUAGAUUAGGGCUAAGGAUCUAUGAGGAUGCAUUGUAUUCCUAUUAUAUACUUAUGAGAACUGCAUGCUAGAAUAGGGAUAAGGAUUUAGUAGGAUGCCUUGUAUGCCUGCUGUAGGAGCUUAUUGAACGGUAUGUUAGAGAUGUUAGUUAGCAGCAUGGUAGCCUGAGUUUCUUAUGCUUGAUUUGGUUACUCGAUGCAUGAAUGCUGCUUGCUUUGUGCUAUAGGGGUUCUGACUAGCUUUAAAUAACUAGCAAGUAAAUAUGUAUCAGGAUUUGCAAGCUAGUUAGGGAAAAGUGGUAGGGACUCCUGGUGCAGCUGAUGGCGGAGAGUAGUUCGGAGGGUGUCCUAGGGAAUCCUAGGAUGGGAUUAGUAUCGGUAAUGAGACUUGGUGAAGUUGAAGCAAUACUUGAGGAAAGCACAAAUAGAUGUGGAAAGUAGUAUGGGCACGUACUACUGAAUGCAGAGGAUCCGUACUCGAGCCAAGGAGGGCCAAGAUGGAGCCAGGAAACUUGGAGAGUGUGUGAGACCUCUUAAGAGUAUGUAUGAUCCUGACAUUUAUGUGUAUAUUUUUAGUAUGGCGAUUACGCGACGUGGAGUAGGAGGUUCAGGAUCUGGGUCAGGAUCAGGAUAACGCUCAGGUGUGGGAUCCGAGCAGGUUGAUGACAACUUACGUGAGCUCAUCGCGUCUAAGAUCACUAGAGGUAUCCUUGAGUCGACCCCUAUCAUCUUCGGGUUGAUCAAGGAGGGGAUUAUCGAGUUGAUGGAGGAUUGCCUCCAGAAAUUUCGGAGAGACUGGGCGUCCAGCCAGUCGGGUACGUGUACACUGUCAUUUUAAGGACUUCAGAAGAAGUGGUGUGUCAGACUUUCACUAGGUGAAGGACCCUAUUUCUGCUAGAAGAUGGAUUGUGGACAUCGAGUCAACGCAGUUGACGAGCUUCUGCCCGGAGGGGUCGAAGGUCCGCUUUGUUGUGAGAUGUUUGAGGGAUAGAGCUAGAGAUUGGUGGGAGUCAGUUGGUGACUCGAUGGGAGCCGCAACCAUCAAGGCUAUGAUUUGGUUAGAUUUUGUGACCAGAUUCAGGGCUGAGUUCGUGCCACUUGUGGAGCUUCAGCAGCUGGCCAUGGAGUUUUCGGAUAUGAGACAGACGAUAGAGACAGUGGCGUAGCUCACCGCCAAAUAUAAGGAGAGGGCCUUGUUGGUACCUCAGUAUGUGGGGGAUGAGGAGAUGCGGAAGACCCGCUACCAUUAUAUGUUGAGGGCUGAUAUCCGGGAGCAUGUCAGCUAUUCAUCUUGACCGACCCUGGAGUCCAUGAUUGCCAGAGCAUAGGAGAGGGAGAUCGAUUUGGAGGACCUUAGGAAGAUGAAGGAAGCGCCAAUGGUGGCACCAACUUCAGCUACAACGCGGGUUGCAGAUAGCCGAAAGGUCAACGCAGAGGCUCUAGUGGUACGAAGCUGAGCAUUUCAGUUGACAGUCAAGAAGGCAUGCACCGGACCCGAUGUGGUGACGGGAUUAUUCCAGGUGAACGGUAUCCCAGUUCAGGUGUUGCUUGAUUCGGGUGCUACCAGUCCUCGGGCAUGUUGGAUUGCCCUGUAGAGGUCGAUAUUGCGGACGAUCGGUCAGUGCGAGCAUCAGGGGUCUACCGAGAUUGUGUUUUGAGGUUGUUCGAGGAGCGUUACUUGGUAGACUUGGUUCCCAUACCCUUGCAGGGGACACAAGGUUAUUGUUGGUAUGGAUUGGCUAAGCCCCAAAGGGGCGGUGAUUGACUACGCGCAACAGUUGGUGCCGAUCAGGACCCCAAGUGGGGGAGAACUGGUGAUUCAGGGUGAGAGGCCACAACGAGGGCCAACUUUAUGUUCAGUAGAAAGAGUUAGGUGCUACUUUCAACAUGGUUACGCUGGAUAUGUCGCCUAUGUCAUGGAUACCCAGGAGGCGGGAAAGGCGACGAUGGGUGAUGUGCCAGUAGUGCGAGAGUUUGCGGAUGUAUUCCCCGAGGAGUUGCAUGGGAUACCUCCGGAGAGGCAGGUAGAUUUCAGGAUCAACCUAAUCCCUGGUGAGGCUCCGAUAGCCAAGGCACUAUAUUGGUUGGCUCGUCCUGAGAUGCAGGAGUUGUCUAUAAAGUUGCAGGAGCUGUUAGACAAAGGAUUCAUUAGACCGAGCAGUUGAUAUUGGGGAGCCCCGAUUUUAUUUGUAAAGAAGAAGGACCGGUCGCACCGGAUGUGUAUAGAUUACCGAGAGCUGAAUAAGGUAACGGUGAAGAACCUUUACCCACUCCCGAGGAUUGAUGACCUCUUCGACUAGCUACACGGAGCAUCUUGGUUCUCCAAGAUUGACUUGCGUUAAGGAUAUCAUCAGAUGAGGGUCAGAGAGGAGGAUGUGCACAAAACUUCUUUUUGGACACGUUAUGGUCACUAUGAGUUUGUGGUGAUGCCUUUCCGGAUCAUCAAUACUCCUGCCACGUUCCUGGAUCUCAUGAACUACAUCUGCAAACCGAUGUUGGAUUGAUCCAUGAUAGUUUUCAUCGAUGACAUCUUCGUCUAUUCCAAGAAGCGAGAGCAGCAUGAGGAGCAUUUGCGGGAGGUUCUGGAUACUUUGACGAGGGAGAGCUUGUAUGCUGAGUUCUCUAAGUGUGAGUUCUGGUAGCGCGAGGUGCUAUUUUUAGGGCACGUUGUCAAUCAAGACGGGAUUUCGGUUGACCCGGCCAAGGUGGAGGCCGUAAUGAGAUGGGAGGUUCCCAGGUCUCCUUCCAAGAUUCGGAGCUUCCUAGGACUGGCAGGCUACUAUCGGAGAUUCAUUCAGGACUUCUCCAAGAUAUUCAUGUCCCUGACCAGGUUGACGAGGAAUGUCGUGGUCAUUCGCUGGGGGCCUGAGCAACAGGCCGUGUUUGAGAGUUUGAGACAGAGAUUGUACGAGGCGCCAAUCUUAGCCCUUCCAGAGGGCAUGGAGGAUUUUGUAGUAUAUUGCGUUGUGUCUAUCUCGGGUUUAGGUGCGGUAUUGAUGCAGAGAGGGCAUGUUAUCUCUUACGCCUGGAGGCAGUUGAAGCCUCACGAGGCGAAUUAUCCGACACAUGAUUUGGAGCUGGGGGCUGUUGUUUUCGCCCUCAAGAUUUCGUGUCAUUACCUCUAUGGGGUUCGUUGUAUUAUUUACAUGGACACAAGAGCCUGAGGUAUCUCAUGGACCAGUCAAAUCUGAAUAUGAGGCAGUGUCAGUGGCUUUAUUGAUGGGUUUUGAGCAUUCUAACACUUCCUAAGUGUACAUGCAACCCUAAUAACCUUGGAUCUAUGUUUGUCUAAUUAUCAUGCAAAGUUGAAUUCCAAGGUUAUAUUCCUAUCUAGCAUACAUGGGGAACAAUUUUAACUUGAAACAUAGAUAGAAUAACUUACCUUGUUGUUGCUUGUGUUCCUUGAAACCUUGUGAGCCUAGCACCCCAAGUGUGAUGCCUCAAAUGCUUCACACAACACCAAAUGCUCUUGGAAAGACUCUUGAGAUAACACACACUUCUCAAAAUCGGCCAAGCCCUCUAGUUUCUUAGUGUAGCCGAUUUUGGUGGAGAAUAUGAUUCUUAUAUAGUGUUGACACAUCUAGGGUUACACCAUGUAAACCCUAAUGUGUCAUGACUCUUCAUUUCCAUGACCCAUGGGUUUGUAACUCCCAUGGAGCAUCCAUGGAGCAUCCUAUGGGUAGAACCCAACUUGAUAAUCCAUGGAGCCUCUUAGCCCACUAUACAAGAUAUGGAUGAUUUACAUAAUCAACCCAUAUAUUUAAUUAGUUAUCCUUUGAUCACUUAAUUAAUUCCAAAUUAAUUCUUUGAUCAACUAAUCAAAUAAUAUUAUUAAUAUAUUAGAACUUAUAAUAUAUUAAUAAUCUCCAAGUGUUAUUUCUCUCAUUUAGUCUAUCCAAUUGCAUGGUGCCAUGCAACCCAAAUGGACCAUGCCGGGUCGGGUCAAGUACAAGCCCGAAAUAGUUAUGGACUUAGACACCUUAUCCAACAGUCUCCCACUUGGAUAAGUCUAAUAACUAUAUCUCUAGUACUUCAGGAACCGACCGGCAAUCGUAGCUCUUUCAAGGUCUCUCGGAACUGAGAAGAUGAUGGUACGCCAUUUAAGAUAAGUGAUCAUAUAAUCCUCCGUUCUAGAUAUCAGCCGGACAAAUACAUGGAACAUUGUCUUGCUUAUUGUCCAGCAUUUGUUUCCCGAUUUCCGAUUUGUUUGACAUAGAACUUAAUUGAACACAUCAACUUAGUUCUGACCGGGCCCGGUACAUGGGUCAAAACAAAAUCAUCGAGGGGCCCAGAUAUCAGCUUCUAAUCCAAGAAGGACCCAGAUAUCAGCUUCUAAUCCAAGAAGGAACAGAUAAACUUCUAAUCACAGAAAAGUACGUUUUAUAACAUCGAGUUACCAAUGCGGUUUCGUACAGUCAAUGCAUAACCAACUUGUAAGUAACAAAUCAUAUCUCUAGGUUUGAAGACUUAUAUGAUAUUACCGUCUCACGAUCACUCGAGAUAGAAUUCCAUGAAGUGAUUCCAGUGAGCGUGGGUUGAGUCCAAUGCUCAGAACUUAUGAGCACUCAUGAUUGUUGUAGCCUUGUCCAACACCUUAGACCUCUACAACCCAUCAUGACAGUCUUGAUUCAUACCUACUUCCGACAUAUGACCGACUGUGGAGGUUUGAAUAAUAUGUUACACCAAACAAAAUUAUUCUGGAAGUCAAAACAUGCAAAAGAAAUAUAGUAAACGAUUGACAAGAGAUAGCAACACUUUACUCAUAAAUAAAACACCUUUUAUUCAUCAUCAAAUGUCAAUUACACUUUACAAAUUUCUGGGUUAUCUAACUACUAAAACUUAUAUCAUCCUUCAGCCCUAUGCUCCGAGCAUGCUGGAGAUGCUUAACCCUACUCAGUCCCUUCGUGAGGGGAUCUGCUGGGUUCUCAUCCGAUGAUACCCUCUUUGCCACGAGGAGUCCUUCUUCGAUCCGAUGUCUAAUGAAAUGGUAUUUUCUGUCGAUGUGUCUGGAUCUCCCAUGAUCCCUUGGUUCCUUGGCUAAGGCAACAGCACUUUCACUAUCACAGAAAAUUUCCAUUGGCUCUUUAAUAGCUGGUACAACUCCAAGGUCUCCAAUGAAGUUCUUCAGCCAUAUCGCCUCCUUUGCUGCUUCGCUAGCUGCAAUAUACUCUGAUUCACAAGUAGAAUCUGCCACUGUCUCUUGCUUGGAACUCUUCCAAGAAAUUGCUCCUCCGUUUAGGGUAAAGACCCAGCCCGACUGAGAGCGGAAAUUAUCCCUAUCAGUCUGGAAGCUAGCAUCACUAUACCCUACAACUCUCAAGUCAUCACUCCCACCGAGGGUAAGGACCCAGUCCUUAGUCCUCCGUAGGUACUUGAGGAUAUUCUUUACCGCAGUCCAGUGUGCCUUGCCAGGGUUCGCCUGAUACCUGCUAACCAUGCUCAAGGCAAAAGCUACAUCGGGUCGAGUACACGUCAUAGCAUACAUGAUCGAUCCUACAGCCGAAGCGUAAGGUGUUCGACUCAUUUCUGCUAUCUCAGCCUCAGUGCUAGGGCUUUGUGUCUUACUCAAUCUGGUGUUACUCUGGAUGGGUAACUCUCCUUUCUUGGAAUCCUGCAUGCUGAAUCUCUUCAGCACCUUAUCCAAGUAGGUACUCUGACUAAGUCCAAUUAGUCUUUUACUCCGAUCUCUCAAGAUUCUUAUCCCUAGAAUAUAGGCAGCUUCACCAAGGUCCUUCAUAGCGAAACACUUCCCAAGCCAGGACUUUACUUCCUGCAGGGUUGGAAUGUCGUUUCCUAUGAGUAGUAUGUCAUCCACAUACAAUACCAAAAAGCUAACUAUACUCCCACUAGCCUUGACAUACACACAAGAUUCAUCUUCACUCCUAGAAAAGCCAAAUUCCUUGACCUUUUCAUCAAAGCAAAGAUUCCAUCUGCGAGGUGCUUGCUUCAAUCCAUAAAUGGAUUUCUCAAGCUUACACACUCUAUUAGGGUACUCGUUGCUGACAAAACCCUCUGGCUGACUCAUGUAAACAUCUUCAGCCAACUUUCCAUUAAGGAAAGCGGUUUUGACAUCCAUCUGCCAUAUUUCAUAGUCAUGAAAUGCAGCUAUGGCUAACAGAACCCGAAUAGACUUAAUCUUGGCUACCGGAGAAAAGGUCUCAUCAUAAUCCACUCCAGGAAUUUGAGAGAAGCCCUUUGCAACCAGUCUAGCCUUAUAAGUGUGUACUUUACCAUCCAUGUCGGUCUUCUUCUUGAAGACCCAUUUGCACCCUACUGUCUUACGACCUGGUACAUUUUCAACCAAGUUCCAAACUUGAUUGUCAUACAUGGAUUGUAUCUCGCUAUCCAUAGCCUCUUUCCAUUUAGCAGACUCGGGGCCUGCCAUGGCUUCCUCGUAGCUGUUAGGGUCAUCUUGACUUACUAGUGUCUCAUCACUAAUAAGUGUCUCACCUUCUGCAGUAAUAUGGAAUCCAUAGUAAUGCUCAGGUGCACUCCUAACUCUCGUGGAACGUCUCAGAGGUACAGAUUUGUCAAUUGGCUCAACAGGAGUUUCCUCCUCAAGUUGAGGGCUAGAGUUUGAAGUUCCUUCACCGCUUGAUUCUUGAAUUUCUUCAAGAUCAAUUUGCCUCCCACUGUCUCCUUGGCUUAUAAACUCUCUUUCUCGAAAGACUCCUCUUCUUGCUACAAAGACCACAUUGUCACUAGGUCUGUAGAAGAGGUAACCAAAGGAUCGCUGUGGGUAACCGAUGAAAAUACACCUCUCGCUUCGAGGUUCGAGCUUAUCAUGAGUCUCGCGUCUCACGAAAGCCUCGCAACCCCAAAUCUUGAUGUGGUCUAGUUUAGGUACUUUACCAGUCCACAUCUCGUGAGGAGUUUUGGCAACUUUCUUUGUAGGGACUAGAUUAAGAAUAUGGGCGGCAGUCUCUAAGGCAUACCCCCAGAAUGAGAUUGGUAGCGUAGCUCGACUCAUCAUGGAACGAACCAUAUCUAACAAGGUUCGAUUACGCCUCUCAGCCACACCAUUCAACUGUGGUGUCCUGGGAGGUGUCAAUUGUGAGACUAUCCCACAUUCCCUUAGAUAGUCGAGGAACUCUGAACUAAGAUACUCACCACCACGAUCGGAUCGAAGCAUCUUAAUGUUCCUGCCCAAUUGAUUCUCGACUUCCUGUUUAAAUUCCUUAAACCUCUCGAAAGUCUCUGACUUAUGCUUGAUCAAGUAGACAUAUCCAUAUCUACUAUAAUCAUCAGUAAAAGUCAAAUAAUAACGAUUAGCAUCCCUUGUGGCAUGUUUGAAUGGUCCACACACAUCCGUGUGUAUAAGGUCCAACAAACCUUCACCCCUCUCACACGAACCUGUGAAGGGUGACUUUGUCAUUUUUCCAAGUAAGCAUGAUUCGCAACUAUCAUCUGACUUUAGGUCAAACGACUCCAAGACUCCAUCCUUUUGGAGUUGGCCUAUGCGUUUCUUGCUUAUAUGUCCAAGACGACAAUGCCAUAAAGAUGCUUUAUCCAAGUUAUUAUUAGUAGAAUCAAUACACAAAACAUUAUUUCCCAAGUUAUCUACAACAGAUACAGCUUCAUACACACCAUCACAAGGUAAUGCUUUAAAAUAAAAGACAUUAUUAUAGAAAACAUCUAUAGAACCAACUUCAUUAUUAAAUGAAAAGGUAAACCCUUGUUUGUACAAAGCAUGAAAGGAAAUAAUAUUUCUUGCCAUUCCUGGCGAAUAACAACACUUAUUCAAAUCUAAACUAAACCCACUACUUAGCGAUAAAGUAUAAACUCCAAUCUUGGUAACAGGUAUAGCUUUCCUAUUCCCCAUGAUCAAGUUUAUCCUUCCUUGCUCCACAUCCUCACUUCUUCUUAGUCCCUGCAAGUCACAACAAAUGUGAAUACCACACCCGGUAUCAAGGACCCAAGAAUUAGAAUGGGGUGAGUUAUUAGAAAUGAUAGUGUAAAUACCUGCAUGGUUGGGUUUAACUUUCCCAUCCUUCACAUCUUGCUGGUAUUUUGGGCAGUUCCGCUUCCAAUGAGCUUUUUCAUGGCAAUAGAAGCAUUCAGCCUCUUUUGGGUCAGAAGAAGGAGUAAUGAAACCUUUCUUGGUUCCACUUGAAGAAGAGCCAUCAAGGGUCCGAACCUUGGUACCCUUAGAAGAGCUCUUUCUCUUCCUCCCUCGACUUUUCCCGAUUGCCAAAACCGGAGUAGAGUUUUGAGUAGGAGUGAUAGCAACCGACUUCCCCUUAAGACCUGAUUCUGCGGUCUUGAGAAGUCCCUGAAGUUUGCUGAGGGUGACUUCUUCCUUGUUCAUGUGAUAUGUCAUGCGGAAUUGAUCAUAGCACGAUGGUAAGGAAUGCAAAAUAAUAUCUAUUGCAAGAUCCUCCGGGAAGUUCACAUUAAGCUUCAGCAAACGAUCCACAUACCUUUGCAUUUUCUGCAUGUGGCUCGUGACGGAUUCCCCGUCCUUCAUCAUGGUUGUUAUCAUGGAGCAGAUGAUUUCAUACCUCUCUUGUCUUGCACUUUGAUGGUAUCUUUCCAUCAAAUCUUGGUGCAUUUCAUAAGGGUAGAAAUCCUCAUAAGACUUUUGGAGUUCCGCUGUCAUCGUGGCCAUCAUGAUGCAAGCCACUUUCGUAGCAUCCCUUUCAUGUGCCCGAAAUUCAGCGAUCUCCUGAGGAGUUGCAGUGGACUCAUCAAUCUCCUUAAGCUCCUUGUCAAGGACAUAUUCUUUGUCCUCGUAGCGGGUAAUCAUCCUGAUGUUUCUGAUCCACUCAUUGAAGUUGGAUCCAUCAAAGGUGACUUUCCCACACAAGUUCAUAAGGGUAAAGGAGCCAUUAGGAUUAGAGCCAGAAGCAUUGUUGAAAGACAUCUGAAGGAAAGAGGACAAGAUUAGUUUAGAUAUAAGAGAGUCCUUAAUAAAACACCCAAAUGUAAUAUUAAGGCUAGGAUCCAAUCACAAUAUAAUAUAACUUAGAAGAGGUAUGCCGUAAUCUAAGCUAUAUCAUAUUUGAAAGGUAGGUGAAUGACGAUUCACCAAUUUCCACCACGAAAACCGCAAUAUUUUAGUAUUAGGUUUUUGAAUGGUUCUUAGAAAUUCCUAGAUUCUUUGAGAUUCAAUGAACUUUUCAAAGGCAUGUUUCAAUCUCGAGUGUGCCCUCCAAGUUUUGUGACUGGGAUACCGAGGAUCACAAAACGAGGUGUGAAGUAACCAUGCAAAUCACUUGGUACCCUUAAAGUUUAUCACUCAAUCGAUGUGCCGGUUAACCACACACGCUCCAUCGAUACUAUAAUAAACCCUAAGUCACCCUUUACCUACCUUGUUAAGUCCAAGUUAGUGUGCCGGUUAACCACACACGCUCCACCAACGACUUAAUCAAAGUGUAAAGUGUAAUUUCAUGGAAUAGCACCUUAUUCACAUUUUUCCUAAAGUAACUAAGAUUGGGAAUUUAAUAAAACAUUUAGUUACUUUAUAAUAUUCAUCAUACUUUGAAUGAGAAUUAAUAAGUCCUUGUCUUACCCGUUCGGCUAACGACCCUCCACCGAUCAAGCAAGCGGUGGGUGAGAGUGGACACCCAUUAAGUCACCAUUUUAUAGGCAACAACCUUAUACCCACCUUAUAGACCGGCUUCGUGAAUGAGGCGUACUAGCGGUAAGACGACUUUGUUCUUAUACAUAUAUAUAUAAUUAUUAAAUCAUAAUAAUAUAAGUAUAAGGGUUGAAUUUUAACUUUUAAAAUUCUAGGGGUUGGAACUAAAGUUUUAACUUAACUUUACUUGUUCCAAAACUUGAGGGCAAGUUUUGUAAACUUUCAAAACUUUUCAUUUCUUGUAACUUAUGAGUUUAAUAGAGUAAUAAAAUGAGGACUUUUCAUUUUUCCUAACUCUUGUGUUCUUUUAAUGUUUUUUAAUCCAAGAGACUUUUGGUUUUCCAUAACUUGAGGACAAGUUAUGGACUCCAUUAAAACACAUUAUGAUCAUGAAUUAAUCUACCACAUAGGUUACAAAUAAUUCCUAUGAUCAUCUAAACAUCAUAAGAACAAGAAUAUGAAUAUGAACACUUUCAAGAAUCAAAAUCACAUUUAAUCUUUGUAAUUUUGAUAACUAGUUGUUGUAAAUGAGUUAGAAAAGACAUUACACCUUCUAAAAUAAGUUUUCAAGUACCAAAACAUUUUAGGGUAAUGAUUCUAAUCCAUUUCCAGCAACACAAGUCGAAAUUCUGCACUCUGUCGACCCUACUCGCCGAGUGCAUAAACCUACUCGCCGAGUAGGUUGAAGAUACACAUGAACUCGUCGAGUCCUCCCCAUGGACUCGCCGAGUCCAUCAGUCAGACAGCAAGAUUUUCGACUUUCUUCAACUUUUAAGCACAAAUAACAAACAAACAAGCCUAGGCUCUGAUACCACUGAUGGGUUUUGAGCAUUCUAACACUUCCUAAGUGUACAUGCAACCCUAAUAACCUUGGAUCUAUGUUUGUCUAAUUAUCAUGCAAAGUUGAAUUCCAAGGUUAUAUUCCUAUCUAGCAUACAUGGGGAACAAUUUUAACUUGAAUCAUAGAUAGAAUAACUUACCUUGUUGUUGCUUGUGUUCCUUGAAACCUUGUGAGCCUAGCACCCCAAGUGUGAUGCCUCAAAUGCUUCACACAACACCAAAUGCUCUUGGAAAGACUCUUGAGAUAACACACACUUCUCAAAAUCGGCCAAGCCCUCUAGUUUCCUUUCACUAGCCAAUUUUUGGUGGGGAAUAUGCUUCUUAUAUAGUGUUGACACUUCUAGGGUUACACCAUGUAAACCCUAAAGUGUCAUGACUCUUCAUUUCCAUGACCCAUGGGUUUGUAACUCCCAUGGAGCAUCCAUGGAGCAUCCUAUGGGUAGAACCCAACUUGAUAAUCCAUGGAGCCUCUUAGCCCACUAUACAAGAUAUGGAUGAUUUACAUAAUCAACCCAUAUAUUUAAUUAGUUAUCCUUUGAUCACUUAAUUAAUUCCAAAUUAAUUCUUUGAUCAACUAAUCAAAUAAUAUUAUUAAUAUAUUAGAACUUAUAAUAUAUUAAUAAUCUCCAAGUGUUAUUUCUCUCAUUUAGUCUAUCCAAUUGCAUGGUGCCAUGCAACCCAAAUGGACCAUGCCGGGUCGGGUCAAGUACAAGCCCGAAAUAGUUAUGGACUUAGACACCUUAUCCAACAUUUAUGUGGUAAAGGAUUAUGAUUGGGAGAUCCUCUACCACCCCGGGAAGGCUAAUGUCGUCGUCGACGCGCUUAGCUACAAGGCAGCGCCGACCAGGGGCAUCUGUAUGAGGAUGACAGUUGUGACUCCGCUGUUGGAGUAGAUUCGGGAGGCCCAACAGGAGGACAGGAAGGAGGAACAUCAGAAGAGCGAGCGAAUUGUGGGGCAGGUUUCCUCCUUCGAUUAUGAUAGUCGAGGAUUGUUGACUCUUCACCGUAGGAUGUAGGUCCUAUAUCAUGGGGGUGUGAGCCAAAUAUUGAUGGAGGAGGCACAUGGAUCCAGGUUUUCUAUCCAUCCCGGUGUGACGAAGAUGUAUAGGGAUCUUCAUCUUGAUUAUUGGUGGCCCUGUAUGAAGAGGGAUGUAGCUUGGUUUGUGGAGAGGUGCCUGACCUGCAGGAAGGUCAAGGAUGAGCACCAGAGACCUCACAACAAGGUCCAACUGUUGGAUAUCCCGCUGUGGAAAUGGGAGAAUAUCACUAUGGAUUUCAUCACAAAGCUUCCCAGGACCGUGUGGGGAGUGGAUUCGAUUUGGGUCAUCGUUGAUCAAUUGACCAUGAGCGCCCAUUUUAUUCCGAUUUAGGAGAGCAUUGCGGCCGAAAAGUUGGCCAACAUCUAUAUCAUGGAGGUAGUGGCGUGGCACGGGUUGUCGGUUUCAGUGGUUUCCAAUAGGGAUGUGCGGUUCACUUCCAGGUUUCAGUGGUUUCCAAAGUUGGCCAACAUCUAUAUCAUGGAGCUGGAUACUCGUCUGCAUUUUAGCACCUCCUUUCACCGACAGACGGAUGGUCAGAGAAAGCGGACCAUCCAGACUCUGGAUGAUAUGCAGCGAGUAUGUGUUUUAGACUUCGGAGGUAGUUGGGAUACUUACCUUCCUCUGGCAGAGUUUUCCUACAAUAAUAGCUAUCACGCGAGUAUCGAACGUCCUCUUUCGAGAUGUUGUAUAAGAGGAAGUGAAGGACCCCAAUAUGCUGGAGUGAGGUUGGUCAUAGGGUUAUGGGGAGUACCGAUGUGGUACUCAAGACUACAGAGAGGAUCCAGCAGGUGCAGAGCAGGCUUCCGACUCCUCAGAGUCGGCAGAAAAGUUAUACCGAUAAGCAUCGAUCGAAUUUCGAGUUCCGGGUCGGGGAUAUGGUGCUCCUGAAGGUGUAUCCUUGGAAAGGCAUCGUACGAUUCAGGAGGCGGGGCAAGCUGGGCCCUAGGUAUAUUGGAACCUUUAGGGUCAUAGCUCGGGUGGUCAAGGUGGCAUAUAGGCUGGAUCUGCCAGCCAAACUCAGUCAGAUUCAUAGCACCUCUCACGUCUCCCAGUUGCGGAAGUGCCUGAUAGACGAAUCGGCAGUGGUGCCUUUAGAGGAUAUUUAGGUUGAUGACAGCCUGAAUUACAUUGAGCGGCCAGUGGCAAUCCUUGACAGGAAGUCAAGGGACCUGAGGAACAAGAGAGUGGAGCUGGUAAAGGUGCAAUGGCAGCACCGCAAGGGCUCGGUAUGGACCUGGGAGUAGGAGGACGAGACGAGGGAGCAUUACCCCGAGCUUUUUUAGGACCCAAUAGCAGACUUCAAGGACGGAGUUUAAAAUGAGUGGGGGAGAUUUGUAACACCCGAUCCCUGGUAUGCUUCCUUUCAAGUAUUUCUUAUGUUUUUCUCUAGGACUCGAAGAGUUGGUGGCCCAACUCGUCGAGUAGAGUCAUGAUCUGAGGAGAGUUUAAAUGACCUACUCGACGAGUUGGGAGACUGACUCGGCGAGUAGGUGAUGUUUCGGUGAAACCCUAAUUUUGAGGGUUUAUGCCAUAUUUAAACAACUUAUCUCAGCCUCCACAGUUCCUAUUCCUCCAAUAAAGCAUUAUCUUGAAACUCUAGCCUUAUGUGAGUGGCCUAAGGCCAUUUUGGUGCAUUUUGGUGGAUUGUGAAACUUGAAAAGAGGAAGGAAGCUUGAGAGUUAAUGUUGGGGCUUGGAGAUCCAGAGAUUUUGUUCCAUUUCUAGCUCAUUCAAGGUAAAAUGCCCUUGUCUUGGUCUUCCAUGUGUUUAAUCAUCCUUAGGGCUUGGAUUUUGAGUAUCUUUAGGGCUUUCUAAGCCAUUUUCGGAUUUGUGGAGGGUUAUAUGGAGUUUUGGCUUCAGAUCUGGGUCAUUGGAAGGGUCUCAUGGCAUAAAGGUGCCAACUCUAUGGCCAUGAGAUCCCCAUGCACUUUGUAGAACAUCUUUUAUGGCUUUUUGAGCCAAAGACCCUUGCAUGUGCACCAAGCUUGGAAAUUUACAUGUAUAAUGGACAUUAGGAGGCCAGAUCUGUAGUUUUGAUGUGUUAAGUCCCAUUUAGAUUGACUGUAUGGUAAUGAUCAAGGAUGGACUCGACGAGUCGUUCUUGGGAAUCGGCGAGUUGGGGUUUAAUGACCACCAAAUCCUUUCUGUCGAUAGACCAGAUGAUAGUGUGGAAGGUCCCUUAGUUGUGUAGGCUCAUAAGGGACCUGGGAAUCAUGGGACUCGACGAGUGUUCGAGCAAACUCGGUGAGUCCAAGGCAAUCUCCCAAUCUUUGAAGAUGGAAUCAAUGAGUUGUUCAUACAACUCGCCAAGUCAUAGACUGGAUGCAUUCUUAUGAGGGAGAUGAACUCGACGAGUUCAAGGAUGAUCUCGGUGAGUCGAAUGAAGAUGUUCCCCAUGGUAUGAUUGAAGGAGAACCCGUCGAGUUCUGCCAGACUCGUCGAGUAGAGUCGGGGAUUGUAUCGGGAUAGAGGAGUAUGGACUCGAUGAGUUAGUAGACCAACUCGGCAAGUCAGGUCCACUGGAUGUUCACUUUGACCAAUCUUGACUUUUAUUGAAUUGAGUUGACCCUGGUUAGGGCUGCAUAUUCAAAUUGAUAACUUAGAAGGGUUGUCGUGUAGGGAUUCAGGAGUCGAGAAGAGUUGAUUUGCACGCCGUGGACAAUUCAAACACUACACAACAUCGAGGUGAGUUACCUUCCAGUAGAAGUGGGUCUAAGGCACCAAGGCCGGCCCACUAGUAGUUGUUUUGUUGAGAUAAUUAUCUGGUUUGCUAUGGCUUGAUAUGUGCAUAUGCUAGUAUGCUAUGUUAGGUGGGAUAGUUCCAGUAGGAGGGGACCAGUUCCCAAUUCGGUCGUUAGGACCAAUGGGUAGGUCGAACAACCCAGAAAUGUUUGACAACAUGAUUAUGAUAUGAUAUUAUAUGCUAGUGGUAGGGGUGAAAUAGUCCCCAUGAUCGGUUGAGAUAGACCGGAGGGUAGGUCGGCACCCCAGAACAGCCUGAUAUGGGUAAGUUAGCACCCCUGACUAGCUUGACGUGGGUAAGUCAGCACCCCAGAAUGGUUUAACAUGGGUAGGUCGGGCGCCCCAGAAUUGCCCGAAAAUAUGUAUGUUGAUUUGUAUGUGGUAUGAUGGGGGAACUCACUAAGCUUUGCGCUUACAUUAUUAGUUUUGGUUUCAGGUACCUCUUCGUCUAAGGGGAAGGAGCCAUCGGUGUUGCAGUGCAUCACACACACAUGAUUUUCGCUUAGAGUUUUCUGGGAUUUUACUCUGAUAUUUUAUUGCUUCAGAUGAUAUGGUUUUGAGACAUGAUACUACGGUUUUAUGUAUAGACAUGAUUUUGGCAAUUUCUUGAUGAUUUAUUUUAUAAAUCACUUAAUUAAAAAGGAAAUUUUUGGCCUUGAUUUUUUGGAUGUUACACCAUACAUAGAAUAGAGAAUGAUAUUUUCCAACCAUAGUCUUACAACUACUAAGAUGCCAUGAGUCAUAUCUUGAUCUUUCCUUGCCAAGUCGUGGGCCAAAUCCUAGGUCUUACAAACAAGUGCCAAGAGCCACCUCCUAAUCUUCCACGCAAGUAUCACAAAGACAACCGGCAUCCUAUAUAAUUGUUAAGGUCAAGCUUAGGUCUUGCAUACGUAUUGUUGGGAGCCAUAUCUAGGUCUUUCAUACAGUUUCCACGUUCCAUUAACUGGUCUUCGUAAAUAACAUAAUCCAAUGGGCCAGAAUUGGUGCCUUCGACCCAUCACUAUAGUAAGGAGACUCAACUCUCAGUUGAUAAUCAACUGCUACUGCUCUCACAACCCAAAAUACUUAGGAUAUGCACCACGUAUAUAGUCACACAAGGUAAGCCCUUAGCUCUUCUUCCAUAACAAGGAGUUUGACCAAAAGUCAACUCAAGUAAAAAAGUCAAUGGUUAGCGUUGACUUUAGUUAACCGCUACGUCGUGGUAUUCCAUGACUACGUCGUUGACAAUAUACAACAAUACAGACUAGCAUUUCCCAGUCACUGUGCCGUGAGCACUGCAAUUGUAAUAGCUUGAUGGGUUAAGCCAUUUUCUUUGAUUUUAAGAGCUCUAAAGCUCAUAUAUGGUCCAUUUUAUGGUCAAAAUUGAUAAAGUUUCCAAGUUUAAUCCUUAAGACUCCCUAAGAAAUCAAGAUCUCAACUUCUAGGCCGAAAAAGGGAAAAAACAUAACAUUGCUUAAUCAUUAAGCACUAAAUCUUGAAGGUCUCUUGUCUGUUAAUUUCCAAAAGGAUUCCUAGCACCAUCACUAACAUAUAAAUUCAUGCAUUACAAACAUUCAUGUCCACUGGAAGUCUUGAACUUCUAUUAGGUUAAAACAAGGGUUUUAUUACCAAGAUUUUGUGCAUGACACCAAAACUCAUUCCUAGUUUAGAUCUAAAGCACCAAAUACCCCAAAUGGUCUGGAGAUUCAUAAAUUUGCAAACUUUAUGACAUCUCACCACCCAAACCCAUUAAGACUUAAAGAAUAAGAGAAAGGUUAUAACGAUCUAACACUUAGGAAGGAAAAGGUUGAGUCUUGGACACCCACCAAGGUCUAGAAGAUAGGCUAAAAGAUGAAGAUGAUGCUUGUAAGGUGAUUCUCCACACACAAUGCUUCUUUCUCCUUCCACUACAAGAAAACAACCCUUUAAUGACGUGCGAAAAAUGACACUCGCUUAUAGAGGACGCGCAUUUGUGCGUACCCUAAAAAAUAAUGUCAGUUUUGUAAAAUUUGAAGGAUAGAGGUCACACAUUUGUGCGCGCCCUAAAAUUAGUGUCAGAAAAGAAAAAAAAAAGAAAUGUGGAGGGCGCCUUUCAUAAAAUGUGCGUCAUGUAAAUGUGUCGCUUUAUAAUUUUUAAGUGAGACACGCAUUUUAGGUGGGAAAUGAAAUCCAUGAAAAUUACUCCCGCCUAUUGGAUCCCAAAAAUUAAUCCCCCCGCCUCUUCUACUUAGCAAGAAAAAGCCAUAGGUCCUUCAUCUUCAUCAGCGGUGGCAAUACCUAGGUCGAUUCUUCAGGGUUCAACAACAGAUUUGUAAACAACAAAUGUAUACGAUUCUAGAUCUCGGCAUGAUUAUGGCGCUUUGGAGCUGGCAAUGUGAACAUCAUUCGUGAGAAAAGUUCAUACAAAACUCAAGAAUUUCUAUGGCUUCGAUUAUUGAGUGAGGUACUGGGAGGUGUAAUCGUUUCAGACUCUUUACUAAUUGAGUUGAAAUUGAACCCUAAAAACUCAAUCCACACUUCGAACAUCUCUGAUUCUCCCUUCUUUCGCUCCCCAAUCCCCUUGGUGGUGCUCUUUCCAUUUCCAUUUCCAACCUCAAACCACCGCUAAAUGGAACCCAACAAUUCAAUCAAUCAAAUCGACAAUCACAUCGACGAUGAUAGUGAUCAUAACUCAUUUCCAAGCCACCGUCAUCAGAUCAUCACCUAUUCAAGAAAGAGAAAACACUCUUAAUCUCUGGUAAUCACAACAAUCGAUUCAACACAAGUAAACCCUCUUUCUGAAUCAUCAGUUCUAGGGAUUUUUGUCCUUGCUCAUACGUUCUCAUACGAUAUUCAAAACCUCACUGAGUCUCUCCUUCUCGAAAUCCUUGCAAGAUUUCCCCUUAAGUCAAUUUUUAGGUUCAAAUGUGUUUGCAAACACUGGCUAGACCUAAUUUCUCAGCCUUCAUUUGCCUGUUUCUAUUGCUCGCGUAUGCUCACAGCCAGCGCAUCGUCGUCAUCCUUACCUUUCAAAAAAAUUUAUAGCUAAAUUUAAGUGUAGAAAUUCACAAACUUUCUUGAUCUAUCCCAUCCGGAGACUUACAAUUCCUCAGAUUUCUCGGUACUUUGCUCUUUCAAAAAAAAUAAGCAGGUAUUUUUCUAUGUUCUUGUGGUCUCUUUAUGUAAUGUCCAAAAAAUUCGUACCAAAAAAUUUUCUUUAAAUCAUUACUAAAUCCAUAUUCAUAAAAACAUGUCAUAAACCAUACAUAAUUUAGAGUAUUAAUUCCAAAACAUAUUUUCGUUAUCAGAGUAAAACAUCCCAGGCCGACUAAUCAAUGGUGUGUGCCAUGAGAUCACCNNNNNNNNNNNNCUACCGAAAGUACCUAAAACCAAAACUGAAAACCAUAAGCACGAAGCUUAGUGAGUUCCCCCAACCUACCACAUACCAUGCAUAAACAUAUACUACACCUACUGGGCCACGCCCGCUAUUUCGGGCCUCGCCCGCUACCUCGGGCCUCGCCCACUACAACAACCCCGCUGCUCCAAGCCCCGCCAGGCUUCGAGCCCCGCUCGGAUACAAAUCUGUUUCUCUUAGGCCCCGCCUAUCUCUGGGCCCUGACUGCUAACCACAUAAUACAAAAUAGAAUAUAACACAUAACUGAACAUUCCUACUGUAUUCUUGUCCUAAGGCCUCGCCUUUCUUGGGCCUAGACCCUAUUGUUGGAUUAAUGUCGAAGUCCAUAACUAUAUUUGGUAUGUACUUGACCCGACCCGGCAUGGUCCAUUUGGUUUGCACUUCACCGACACAAUUUAUAUGGAUAAUCUUUUGAGAAUAGUAUGUUUAUGAUUAAUAUUAAUAUAUUAUAAUUUCUAAUAUAUUAUUAUGGAAUCAUAUUAUUUAAUUAGUAUUGAUCAAGAAUUAAUUUAUAAUUAAUUAAGUGAUCAAAAGCAACUAAUUAAAUAUGGACUCUUAUAUAUAUGGAAUGGGCCAAGUUCAUUUAGGUUGGGCUAAGUAUUUAUGGAUAGUCCAAGGAGUGUUUAACCCAUGGAUCCUAGGAAAUGAAAGGUCAUGGGUAUUAGGGUUUAACCCUAAUCCUCCACACUAUAUAAAGAUGUCCUUGGUUGGUGAAAUGGGCACUAGUGUGGUACACUAAGAAGGGCUAGCCAAUUUCACUAGAGAGAACCAAGUAUCCAUAUUCUCUAAAGUCUUCCAAGGUGUUUUGGUGAUUUGUGAUUCCAUUUGAGGCUUCCACACUAUUGGGGCUAAGCUCUUAAAGCUUGAAGACAUCAAGCUACAUCAAAAGGUAUGUCAUCUAACUAGUACUUUGUAGAUUAAGAACAUCAUAAUAUGCUAGUUAGGAUUAAAGCCUUGGAAAGUUCUUAUUUGCAUGUAUAAUAGAGAAAACAUAGAUCCAAGGUUUAUAGGGUUGCAUGUACACCAUAGGAGUGUUAGAAUGCUCAAAACCCAACAGUGGUAUCAGAGCCACGGGUUGUUUUCUGUUAUAUUGAUGCAAAUAUUUUAUUUUCAAAGUUGAAAAAAAAGGAAAAAAAAAAAUGAAGUUUGUCAAAUUUUAAGAUAAUUACUUGUUCUUGUGAAAAACUAAUUAUUUGUAAAAUUUGAAUAAUUUGCUUUAUGAGUUGAAUUAGGUCAAAUUUAAUAAAAGAUAAAAUAAUAUGAUUAUUUUAUUAGUUUUAAAAGUUUGAUCUAAAGAGUUUUAUUUUUUGAAACCUCCAUAAGUUAUGGAUAUGAAAAGGUUUUAAAAAAAAAAUGAUUCAAAGUUUUUAUGGAGUUACAAAAUUUGGUGUUAAUGUUUUAAAGGAUUCCAUAACUUAAGAAUAAGUUAUGGAUCACCAAAAGUUUUUUGUGUUACCUUGUUUUAUGAGUGAAUUUAGAUUAAUGAAUAAAAUUAUGUGAUAGUUGGUUUUAAUCCAAAUUAAUCUAAGAAUUGAUUCUAAAAUGUGUUUUUGUAACUUGUCCUCAAGUUAUAUGAAAAGUCACAUUUAAGAAUCAUAAAACUCAUAAAAAUUGGCAAAGGUUACAAAAAUGAAGAGUCUAGUUCUAAUUAAAUGGUUUUAUGACUCCAUAACUUGUCCUCAAGUUAUGGAGGACCAAGAGUCUCUUCAUUUAAUAAAAUAAAAUAAAAUAAAAAAAGGUGUAACCUUAAUUAAUUCCAUAAGUUAUAAAAUAAAGAAAAGUUAAUUCUUUUAUUAGUUUAAAGUCUUCCAUAACUUGUCCUCAAGUUAUGGAACUUGAAGAGUUUUUGGAUUAAAACUACUUUAAACACAUAAGUUAUGGAAUUAAUUAGUUUUGAAUAGUUUCAAAACUUGCCCUCAAGUUUUGGAAUUUGUAAAGUUUUCACUUAUGAAUACUUUAAUUCCAAGUUAGCCCUUAGAAUUUUAAAAGUUAAAAUUCAACCCUUAUACUUUAUAAUAUUAUAAGUUAAUAAUAUAUAUAUGUAUAAGAGUAAAGUCAGUCUUACCGCUAGUACGCCUCAUUCACGAAGCCGGUCUAUAAGGUGGGUAUAAGGUUGUUGCCUAUAAAAUGGCAACUUAAUGGGUGUCCACUCUCACCCACCGCUUGCUUGACUGGUGGAGGGUCGUUAGCCGAACGGGUUUGACAGGACUAGAAUUCUCCCUUCAUUAAAAGUAUUAAUGAUAAUACUAAGUAACUAAACUCUUAAUAAUACCCAAUCUUAGUUACUUAGGAAAAAUGUGAAUAAGGUGCUAAUCCAUGAAAUUACACUUUACACUUUGUCUAAGUCGUUAGUGGAGCGUGUGUGGUUAACCGGCACACUAACUUGGACUUAACAAGGUAGGUAAAGGGUGACUUAAUAUUUAUCAUAGUAUCGAUGGAGCGUGUGUGGUUAACCGGCACAUCGAUUGAGGGGUAAUUUAUUAAGGGUACCAAGUGAUUUGCAUGGUUACUUCACACCUUGUUUUGUGAUCCUCGGCAUCCCAGUCACAAAACCUGAAGGGCACACUCGAG
Molecule: long non-coding RNA, 55002 nt
Filed under: Lactuca sativa (garden lettuce)
Lineage: Eukaryota; Viridiplantae; Streptophyta; Magnoliopsida; Asterales; Asteraceae
Description: long non-coding RNA (LSAT_LNC008694)
Source: RNAcentral